UGGUUGGUGGUCGGACUGAGCGGAGGCAUGGGGAUUGACGACGCCGGCAGCGGCCACUAGGCCAGUUUGUUCCAGAGGCUUCCUUUCUUAAUUGCUCAACAAUGAGGUUUGUUGGAGAUAAGGAUGAACGAGGGAAGGCCUUGUCUGCAAAUGUGGAGAGGGGUGCGGGUAUCUUUUAGUUUAAUUUCCAUCCGCCAGAUAUAGAUCGGACGGUCUAUAUUGCAAGAUGGCACACGUACCAUCAUCACCAACUCAGUUUUUUAUAAGAGAAGAAAUAUAAGUAUGGAGAUACAAACGUAUUAUCGAUACUUGCUUCCGUAAACUAGCAUCUACAUUCUAUUCAACGCCUCGGCACGUGGGGCCUUAGCACAAUGACUUCUCGACUGUGUAAAACAAAGAUUUUCCCGUCGCCGAUAAGGAGGGGGUGAUGGCGGCGCGCUUUUUGGCUUGCUCUAGUCCUAGUAGUCAUACUAGGUGGUCUAAGCACGUGUAGAUUUAUUCUUUUUCACGUCUCAUGUUCGCCGUACUGCCACGACUGUUGAUGAAUAGACGGUAAGUUAUUCACGGGGAAACCCUUGUUGAGCGUGUUUGCGAGAGAGAGAGACAGUGUGCGUGUGUGAUAUGUUAGAGACAGAGGCAAUGAUAACAGAUUCUUUGUGUCUAUGUGUGUGGAGGAUAGAGAGAGACAUGUACAUGGGGCUUUGUGUUGUGUAACGUGGAGACACAUAUACAUAAUUAGAGAGUGAGUGUAUGAGAUACACAUGCGGACAUGAGGAGAGAUGAGGAUCCAGAUAAAUGGGUGUUUGUGCGUGUCUGUGUGUGUUUGUGCACGCGUUUGUGUGUGAGAGGGAGAGAGUGUAUCUGGAGUAGAGAGACCACUGAUGAUGUAAACCUAGUAUAAGGGAAGGGGGAAUGGUGUGACAUGUGUAGUAGUGAGAUAGCACGGGUGCGGGCGGGGGGAGCAGACUAUUUGGAAGAGACAUCGAGUGUGUGUGUGGGCGAGGGGUGUGAGAGCGAGGGAAAGAGAGAGCUAGCGACGGAGAGAGAGAGAGAGAGGAAGAGAGGGGGCGAGAGGGUCGUUUGUGUCCAUAAAUGGCGUAUAGAUAGGGAGACAAUGUUGAUGUUGUCCGAAAUUGGCCUAUGAACGGAGACGCAAGGGAAGCGAGUCAUCGUGUGUGUGAUAGGGACUUCAUGAGAGAUCUAGAAUAGAUGGUGUAGAGAACAAUGUGCGAAAUCGAGAACGAUUAUACAUUAGGGAGCUAUGCAAAGAGUCACGACAUAUAUGUAUACAGGGAAGGAGCUGGGGCGGGUCCGCAUGUGGGAGAGGUAGAAAGAGGAGAGUGGUGCACAAGGAGACAAAGUGUGCUUGUUUGCAAUGGGGGUGGUGUGUGAGGUGAGUGCGUGAGAACAACAUGACUAGGGAGAUAGACGUUUGGGGGCGACGUUUUGUGUGUAUGGGAAAUAUACACUCUACAUAGUGCGUGUGCUUGGGUAAGAGAGGUGGCGGGAGACCUAGAGAGUGAGGGAAGAGAUGUGUGCGUGCCCGAGAGACAAAGUGAUAGAGACCUAUGUUGGGGUCCGGACUUUACAAGAGAGAGGGGUGUUAAUGUGCUCGUGCGUUGGUGUUUGGGGGAGAGAACGACUUCUCUAUGUGUGUGUGUGUGUGUGUGUGGUGGGGGGGGGUUGACUUCAGAUAAAGAGUGAGGUGUCUAUAUUUGAGGGACUUUAGCGUAAUUGAGAUAUUGUGCACUCAUGGUUGUACUAUGAGAUAACAAUACUUUUGAACAUGCGUGAUAUACCUUGAUGUACCAGAAUUACAAACCUAAGAUUGGAAUUUUGGAAUUCGACUCUAUCAUUAGCUUUUGUAAUUCAUUUAAACGGAGGUACAUUUUUUAAGCCGGGAUUUUGUGAUUUCAAAUUCAUAUAUCAAACCUAGAGAUAUACACAUACGGGCAUGUUCAAACUUUAUAAUCAUCCACUUUAUUCAUAUACAUAUACAUUUUUGCUUUUGUCAUCAUAUUUAGGAUAAACACAUUUGGAAUUUCAUUUGAAUUGGACCGUAUGAUGGUAUUUGCUUGUAGUAGCUCAAUGAUCCAUAUUUGAAUUGAAUGGACAACCUAAGUUUCGAGUUGGAGACAUUGAUUUUCAAAACUUGCACAUUUUUUGCAUGCAAAACAAACAAAUUGUCGGCCAUGAUAUCAUAGUCGGCCGUACGAGAGCAGAAUACUUAUAAUUUUAGGCGCCAAAAGCUUUCAAACUUCCCGCUCACAUCGAAAUAUCAUGCGCCCGAAAGUUUAGCCCUGAGAUAUUCCUGUUUUACCCCUGCCACAUGAACGGAAAAGGGCUGCUUUGGUAACUCCAUUGUUUUCCCCUCUUUGCCCCCAACAUUCUUCCCCAGAGCCCCUCCCCUUCCCCUCCCCGACCCCCCAACCACGGCAAGCCGCCGAAUCUAGUCCUCCGCCGCAGCGGUGGACCUCACACCCCGCCGGAUCUACCUUCCGCACCUUGGAACCCCCAACUGCCAACUCACCACUUCACCGGAGCCGCUUCAGCGACUGGCUUGUCCACCGCUCCAGAUCUCCUUGACCGCCAUCAUGGUCCACCGCACCGGAUCUGCUUAACCGGCGCCCUCGUCCACCACAGCGUAGGCCCUUCACCAACUCCCUCGUCCGCCCCUUCGCUGGCCCUUCAUACAAGCCCCCGUCUGCCGCAACAGAUCCGCCUCACCGAAAGCACUGUACAACGCGCCCGCCGAAGCCUUCGUCCACUGCACCGGACCCGCUCCACGGAUGCCAUAUUCAACUCCACCGGCCCAGCUUUACCGACGCCGUAGCCUCACCAGGUUAUUUCAAUUUGUACUCCUUCGGUUUUUCGCUUUAUCGUGCAACUGUUCACUUACCACAGAUGAGCUUUCUUGUAUGUCGACAGGCGCGGCAACCGUAGCACCGGAGCCGCUUCAGCGACGGCGACAGCCGGCCCAAACUCAAUCGCAACACGAGCACCAUCGACGAUCCUUAGCUAUCAAGUAUGACAACGAUACCCAUACGCCGCGGAGAAUCAGGUACUAUUAUCCAACGGCCGGCGCCUACAUUCACUUUCCUACCAUAAGCACCGCACCUUUGAAUUUCUUCAGGGCAUCAUUCAGUUUUUCAUGAGACGCGUUAUUCUGCUUGCACCUGUAGGGCCAUACUUCUGGCAGUGAACAUGUUACAUGUGCUAAAUUACAUACCAGUGCAUGUAUAGUUAAUAUGCUUUAGUUUUGUUCUGAUGCCACCUGUUGGUUCCAUCAGACUGCUUAAUGUUCUCUAUGCUUAAUUACACAUCAGCAAACUAGCAUGUGGUUCUGCUGCUUUUUGUUCGUUUUACCCUACAUUUUCUGAUGCUAGUUAUUACAUCACUGCUCCGAGCCUCUGUUCAUUACUUGUUUGUGUGUUCUUGAUCUUCCCAAGUUGCAUGACUAAUUUGAUGCUUCUAUUAAUUAUGGAGCUGCCAACCCCAUCAAGCAAAAUAUUAGUUCUUUUGGGGCUGGCACCUCGAACAAGCAUAAAAAUAGAGGGAAGCAGAUAUAUUGUCGUGUAUGCACACACCCUUCUUUCAUUAGUUUAGAUGAACCAUUGAUGAUCAAUUCGGACCAGUGCAUGCAAUUAAAAUUAAUUUUACCUAAAUAGAUGGUGCAGAAUAAACUACAACAACUAGAUUUGCAACCACGGGAUGCUGACGAUAUCUUCAAAGAACAUUGCAACAGCAGCUAGGCUUCACAGCAACAUAUGGUAAGCCAGUGUGUUUUAGUACAUGUGAAAUGUAAUGCGAGUGGGCUGCUUUCUUGGCUUGUGCCCUCAACGUGUAAUCCUACCGAAUUACAAAUAGUUCAGUUGUCUGCUUUGCUGUAUUGCUUGAUUCGAAUGCUUAUUUGUUGUUACGCUAUACCUGAGUUGGCCAAUAUGUUAGUAGUGCCUGCUGUACUAUCGUAAAGAAAUGCAUGCCUAUUUCAUUUGAGUCCUUAACUUUUCCUCUCAACUUCAUCACAAGACUGUCUUUGUAGUUUAUAUGAGGCCACACUAUUAAGUGCUUUCUCAGAUUAUUUCAACUGCUUCGAUGCCUUGGCAACUUAAAUAUAGCGGUUGUACACUCCCUUUCAACUAGGGAUGUCAACUGGGUCCCGUUUAAUCUUGAUUAAAGUCCACUAGUGGUAUGAUAGUUCAAAAGAGUUUUUGUUUUUUGAGGAAAAUGAACUAGGGAGGUAGCAAAAACUAACUAGAUGGGACUCGCGGGUGUCGUUUAUUUGCCACUUACAUCCCUAGUUUCAUCUUACCAUUUUAAUUUCUUUUCAGCUGAUGCUGCUUCGAACCAUUUAAAUAUAGUUUGCCAUGCUCGGCAAUAAUUCGUCUGUCGUUUACCAUGUAAGCUUACUGCCUGGAUAAUACGAUAACUAUCUCUUACUGAUGUCUAGCAGAAACCUUUCAGGAUGCCGUUCACAUUAGGACACAAUGUACAACCCCAGAAUCUAUUUGUGGAAGCAGUGCGCCAUCCAUGUUACCAGAUGGUAGCAGUUCAGAGGCAACACCGCCGGAGAGCAGUCUGAGCACAGAUAUUAUAGUGCUUGAGGCUCUACUAGAGGCAGAAAGAGAUGGUGUGGCUGCCAUGAAUGAGGUAAUCUUUAUCUUGAGGCUGGAAAUUACGGAAUUAGCGGCACGCAUUAUGCAAGCAACCCAAGAAUUGGAGGAAGUAAGAAUGUUGCAUUUGAAGACGGAGGAGGUCCUGCUGUUUCUGCUAUCUGAAGCCCAAGGUAAUCCCGGUUCUUCUUUAGAUACCAGUUGAAAUUGUCAUUAGAUUAUUGUACUUGCAUGUUGUGUCAUGUCUCUGAAUGGAUUAUGUUGCAAGACCCCCUAUGUUGUCCAUGUGUUGUAAUGAUCCGAAUUUUUUAGGCGAGGUAAUCCUCAGUACUUGUAUGAUUGACAUAAGGUGAACUGUUUUUCGUGUGAGCAUAUUGUAUUGGAUGAAAUAACUGUUUGACUCAGAGUGUAUCCAACCUACUGAAUUCGAAGAUCAUGGCAUUUCUAAAUCAUAAUCAUAUAUAAAGGUGGAAUAAAUCUUUGUUGUGGUUUUGAAGAAAUAAAUAACAAAACGUAUAAUUAUCUGUAUAUAUUCGUAAUCGAAUACAAAUUGGAUUUGAAUUUAGUUUGCCAGGUCCCAGGGCAAACGUGAAUGCUAAUUCUCCCAAGUUUUGAACGAAGCGGCUAAACACCCACUAUAAUUUGUGGGCUGCCAGAAGCAAGUGUUUGCGAGAUGGAAAUUACUGUCUACCCCUGACACUUGACAUCCUUAUUGACCGGAUUUACACUGCUGUCAAUAGGGGUAGACUAGUAACUUCAAUUAGACGUGACACGAUGGCCUCUGAGCCCAUUCAGACAUGGUGGGCGCCAAACGUGGGCGGCAAAACACAUUUGAUUCAAGCUCGUCCGAAAUACAUGUGUCUCUUCCUCCAUUUCCCCAUUCAUACACGGUGGGCGGCAAAACAAACUCUCCUCGUCCGAAAUCGAUGUAGGCUAAUAUUUUAAAUAGGGGCAGAUGUGUAACUUCCAUCAGACGUGACACAACCGCCCUACCUGUCAGGCCCGUUCAUACACCGUGGGCGCCAACCGUGGGCGGCAAAACACCCUCUCCUCGCCCGAAAUAGUUACCGGCAAAUAUUUGGGAGAUGCGAGAUUACCGUCCUAUCCCCAACCGACGCGAUAUCCGAAAUUUUAAACGGGGGAUAAGUUCGUAACUUUCCCCCAUUUCAGAGAAGCGCGUCCCAAAGUUUGAGAUCCCCCCUCCCCUCCAUUUCCCCAUUCAUACACCGUCGGCGGCACGACAACCUCCGCACUGCGGCCAGCCUCCUCCGUCCGCCACCCCAUCCUCCACCUUGCCGGAGCCGCUACCCCUACCCCGUCGUCCACUGCAAGAGAUGGACGUCUCUCAUCCACGGCGCUGGACCAGGAUCCUUUCAUCGCCUCCUCUCGCUUCAUCGGCGCCGUCGUUCACCUUGCCGUUGCCGCUCCUACGACCGCCUCGUCCACGGCAACAGGAUAUAUCCCCCGACCCGGCCGUCUGCCGUCUAACGUCUUCUUCCCCGCCGCCGACAGCCAUCGCACCCGCAGCACCCUCAACGUAUCAGCAUAGGCCUACACGGCGUCGCAAGACAGGUGGUACUCUUCCAUAUGUGCUUAAGUUAUUGAUCUCACCCGAAAAAUAGAUCGUAAUUUGUUUACUGUACUUUUCUUGUCCAUACCAAAUCGUAGUGGCUAGUUGAAAGCAACAUUGGUUGCGAAGUAGCUUUGUCCGAUUUGCACCUUCAGAUCCGCCAUGGCACGGGCACUAUACUCGUAAAGCUUAUGGUUUCCCCCUUUAUAUUCACUACCAUCAUCGUAGGUGCUUUGUGUCGUGCUAGCACUGCUCCUCAAGACCUCAACCCAAAGCUUACGUGUUGAAAUACGAAUCUGAUAUGAUGCUAUCACUAAAACAAAGAACGUUUAAUUGGUCACCUAAUGUUCCUAUAUUCAUUUCGAAAAGCAUGUGCGCCACCCACUGGUCCAGCUAGUUCCACUUUCCUGAUUUUUCUCUUGAUGCUUAGGGUUUUCCCCUUUUAUCUACUCUACUAUGAUCUGCGUAGGUGCUUUCUGUCGUACUAGCAUUACUCCACCCUUCAAGCUAAACAACACAACACUCAGAAUUCGAAAGCUUAGUUGUUCAAAUAUGAUUGUGAUAUGAUACUGAUAUUAGUUAACCGACACAUUUAAUUGGUUAGCCAAAGGUCCCACUUGAGUUUCCAAAUGCAUGUCGCGACAUAUAGAGAGACAGCAUAAUUGCAUUUCUUUGUCACUUGUUGACCGUACUUUCUUGUCCAUACCAAAUCUUAGUUGUUAUUUCAAAGCAAACAUCGGUUUCUAACUACCCUUUGCACGGUUUGCAGCUUCAGAUCUGCCAUCCCACUGCCACGGUCAACACUGUACUCAUCAUGCUUAUGUUUUCCCCAUUUUAUGAUGACCACAAUCAGCCUACGUGGUUCGUGUCGUAAUAGCACUGCUCCACCCAUCGAGCUAAACAAGCUUAGUUGUACAAAUUCAUAUAUGAUAUUAUUGCUAAUAUUAGUAAAACUGAGAGAUGUUUAAUUGGUUAGCUAAAUGUUCCUACUUUAGUUUCGAAAUGCAUGUGAGCCACAUAUGGAGAGACCGGAAAGAAUAGUAUUUCUCUGUGCGCUCUGGUUCAUCAUGGGUGGCCAACCGACAUUGUAUUGAAAGACUUGUAAUAUCUUCAAUCUGCUUGCUCUUCUGCUCUUCUUUAAGAUGAUACUCUUCUCUUGCGGUCGACUAGUCAGGUCGAGUUGUUCUCCCUUAGUAUAUUUUGAAUCUGUCAGGUCAGGUCGACUUGUUCUUCUUUACUAUAUGUUGAAGCUAUCAUCUGCGAAGUGUCAUCACUUCUGGAGCUCUCAUAUUUUGAGUAGUAGGCCACAUUAUAUUAAUGCACACAACAAAUUACAGCAUGCAUGGCUUCUUUUAAAAGAAUUGCAGAGAUAGCACAAAGGGGUUUACAGGGAGGCAGUAUUGGAUUAGAAUCACUUCUGCAUUACAAAGAAAAUCUCACUUGUUUUUAUGUUUUCAUGCAUGUCAGAUAUUCAACAUUAUCAAAAUGAAUAUGAGAAUGGGCGCACGAGAGGAAUAUUGCAGAACGAUCCACUGGCUAACAAACUUGGCAUGGUGGAGGAUGGCCUAUCUUAUUCACCCAUCAAGGUGCUUGCUCUAACUUUGCAAAGUUGUAUUGGUCGCACAUAUUUUGCAUCUGACCUCUUGCAUUACUUCUACUUUGUUACACCAUCUGCUUAGUUUAAGCAUCAUAUAUGAGUAUAUGCCAUACCUAUCCAUUUUCUGUACCUAUUCCAUGUGUCGUCACACUAUGUUUUUUCAGUCAAAUGUUGUUCUUUCGUAAUAGAUGUCCAAAAGGAAGAGGGUGACUGCUGAUCCUCAAGGAGUACAAACUAGGUAUUUGGAAAAGGUAGUGAUACCUAUUAAAUCAGAUAGAUCAGCAGCCACAGAAAACACAGGCCCAACUGUACCACACUUUACCCCUACUCCAGUGGCCAAACCCCUAUUAGAACUGCUGGGAGCCCAGCGUCAGGUACUGUCUAUGAUAUCAAUUCAAAAUUUGAACUCCUAAAUUUCUGCUUGUGCCUUACCUUCUCUCUUGUAUGAAAACUAAUUUCAGAUGAAUCUCCUUGCUCAAAGGAUCAUACGAUCUCAAAACAAUAAUGGGCUCUGCAUUGCUCUUGUCAGUACCUCUCUCCCUUUUGCCUUGGAACGCUGUACUUAAUUAAUUGCUAUUUGAUUAUGUAUCAUCAGUCUGCACCUGAGCUUCAUUAUCCUCUGUUUCUUCCAAUAUUAUUUAAUCUAUAUUUACUCUUUGCAAAAUGUAGAAUAAUGGCAACGCUUAUAAAGAAUUUUCUUUGGGGAAUUUAUUGAAUUAUCCUUCCAUCAACAUGGAGAAGGGCUUUGUCCAGCCCGUGUUAACAUGUAAUGUAAGUUCAUCCUUCUCAAGCCUUCAAACUUUGUUCUAGUAUAGAUUUGGAUAGGCAUCAUUUCCUCCACUGUUGUUUGCUUUGCUGUUUACAUCUGAUUGGAUGUUUGCAACAACUACCAGUUUCAAAUUAUAGUUGUAAAAACAUGUUCCUUAUGCAGAAUAGAUCCAUUUAUUUGCUUAUAUAAUUGUGAAACCUGUUACGUGUCUCCUUGUUUCUAUUUCAGACUCGUAUCUCUUACGCCAGGCAGAACUUUAGGGAAGAUAGUGAGCCAAACCAUCUUGAGGACAGCGAGAUGACCCCAAGGUCCUGUCUUGAUGAAGACAGUGAGUUGAAGCUACUCACCAGCAGGUGUGAGACAACCUCUGUGCAGUCGCUGCCUCAAUCAGUUCGACUUCUUCAGUCUCAACUUAAAGCGGAAAGGCUUGCUUCAGCUCAGCUCCUAGUUGAAGUCAAAGAUGCAAUGAAGAUGUCAGAGGACUGCCGUGCGCACCAUCAUGCCUUAAAUCUAGUGUUGAUGCAUCGUUGACACAACUGAGGUCUACUCAGCUUCUUCAGCUGUUUGGGGGGCCCGACGUGGCCAGGCCUAGUGCCUUCUGAAGUGCUCCCAGUUUUGUAUAUUCUUUUGUCGGCGCGUUUAUUUGCACCGGUGGCGAACUUUGAUGCCCAGUGGAUGUAAUAUGUGUGAUAGCCGUGAUAGCCCAGCGUAAGUUGCUUGCUUAUUUAUUUCCUUGUUGUCUUGUUUAUUUGUUUGCUUGUAGUCAUUGCAGUUCUUUUUCCGCGGUUUGCUAGUGGCUGCAAUAACCUAUUUUUUAAAACUAGGCCACAAUAACCAUGGGCUAAUAUUUACUGUAGUGACACUGGGCCUCCAACGGGCCGUAGAAACAGUGGGCCUUCUACGGGCCGUAGAAACAGUGGGCCUUCUACGGGCCGUAGAAACAAUGGGCCUUCUACGGGCCGUAUCAUCAAUGGGCCUUAUACGGGCAGUAUGAUCGAUUGGCCAAACAUGGGCCAAUAACAGGCCGCAUUAUGGCCGUAAACGGGCUAGAGUUGGAAUCGCCCGUUCAUGGGCCAACCUUAACGGGCCAUCGUUAAUAGGCCAUAUUUGAUGACGCUAUGAAAACGGCCCAACGUAUUAACGGACCACAAAAGGGCCGACUGUAACCACGGGUUGAAUUUGGCCCACAAGCAGAAAAUGACAGUAACGGGCCGUAAGUAAACGAAUGCGGGAAAUGAGCCCAAGUAUAAAUGGGCUCUGAGAAGGCCGAAAGAUAACAUGGGCUGGAAACGGCCCAACGGAAUAACGGGCUGUUAAUGGGUAUAAAGUGAUACACUGUUCAUUACGGGUCAGUUUCACCACGGGCCGUUAAUGGGUGUAAAGUGAUACACUGUGUUGGGGAUCGUAGCAGAAAUUAAAAUUUUCUACGCAUCACCAAGAUCAAUCUAUGGAGUUUACUAGCAAUGAGAGGGGAGGAGUGCAUCUACAUACCCUUGUAGAUCGCGAGCGGAAGCGUUCAAGAGAACGGGGUUGAUGGAGUCGUACUCGUCGUGAUCCAAAUCACCGAUGAUCCAAGCGCCGAACGGACAGCACCUCCGCGUUCAACACACGUACGGAGCGGUGACGUCUCCCACGCCUUGAUCCAGCAAGGAGGAGGGAGAGGUUGAGGAAGAAGGCUCCAACAACAGCACGACGGCGUGGUGGUGGUGGAGUGACAGUUCUCCGGCAGGGCUUCGCCAAGCACACGCGGAGGAGGAGAGGUGUUGGGGAGGGGAGGGGCUGCGCCUUGGAUGUGGUGCUGCAGCCCUCCCCUCACCCCUCUAUUUAUAGGGAGAAGGGGGAAGGGGGCCAGCCCCUCUAGAUGAGAUCUAGAGGGGGGACGGCGGCCAAGGGGGGAGGGAGCUUGCCCCCCCAAGCAAGGGGGGCCCCCCCUUUAGGGUUCCCCCCAAACCCUAGGCGCAUGGGCCCUAAGGGGGUUGGCUCACAGCCCACUAAGGGCUGGUUCCCUUCCACCUACAGCCCAUAAGGCCCUCCGGGGCAGGUGGACCCUCCCGGUGGACCCCCGGAACCCCUCCGGUGGUCCCGGUACAAUACCGGUAUACCCCCGAAUAUUUCCGGUGACCGUAUGGUGACCUCCCAUAUAUAAAUCUUUACCUCCGGACCAUUUCGGAACUCCUCGUGAUGUCCGGGAUCUCAUCUGGGACUCCGAACAACAUUCGGUAAUCACAUACAAACCUUCCUUAUAACCCUAGCGUCAUCGAACCUUAAGUGUGUAGACCCUACGGGUUCGGGAAUCAUGCAGACAUGACCGAGACACCUCUCUAGCCAAUAACCAACAGCGGGAUCUGGAUACCCAUGUUGGCUCCCACAUGUUCCACGAUGAUCCCAUCGGAUGAACCACGAUGUCGAGGAUUCAAGCAAUCCCGUAUACAAUUCCCUUUGUCAAUCGGUACUUUACUUGCCCGAGAUUCGAUCGUCGGUAUCCCAAUACCUCGUUCAAUCUCGUUACCGGCAAGUCACUUUACUCGUUCUGUAAUGCAUGAUCCCGUGACUAACUACUUAGUCACAUUGAGCUCAUUAUGAUGAUGCAAUACCGAGUGGGCCCAGAGAUACCUCUCCAUCAUGCAAGUCUGUCAAAGUCCAUACUUUGUUUUCAUACAUGGAUCCUAUCUCGGAUUGCAUGGCUUCAAGCCAUUUGUUGGAAUCUGGACCCGCCAUUGCUUCUUCAUAGUUCGAAGGUUCACCACUGUCCAACAACAUGAUUUCCAGGACAGGGUUGCCGUACCACUCUGGUGCGGAACGUGUCAUUGUGGACCUACGAAGUUCAGUGGUAACUUGAUCAUGAUCAUCAUCAUUCACUUCCUCUCUAGUCGGUGCAGGCACCACAGAAACAUUUUCUUGUGCUGCGCUACUUUCUGGUUCGAGAGGGGUCAUCUCAUCAAGUUCCACUUUCCUCCCACUUACUUCUUUCGAGAGAAACUCUUUCUCCAGAAAGGACCCGUUCUUGGCAACGAAGAUCUUGCCUUCGGAUCUGAGGUAGAAGGUAUACCCAAUAGUUUCCUUAGGGUAUCCUAUGUAGACGCAUUUUUCCGACUUGGGUUCGAGCUUUUCAGGUUGAAGUUUCUUGACAUAAGCAUAACAUCCCCAAACUUUAAGAAACGACAGCUUAGGUUUCUUUCCAAACCAUAAUUCAUACGGUGUCGUCUCAACGGGUUUCGACGGAGCCCUAUUUAAAGGGAAUGCGGCAGUCUCUAAAGCAUAACCCCAGAAUGAUAGCGGUAGAUCGGUAAGAGACAUCACAGAUCGCACCAUAUCCAAUAGAGUGCGAUUACGAUGUACGGACACACCAUUACGCUGAGGUGUUCCAGGCGGCGUGAGUUUUGAAACAAUUCCACAUUUCCUUAAGUGUGUGCCAAAUUCGUGACUCAAAUAUUCCCCUCCAUGAUCUGAUCGUAAGAACUUUAUUUUCCUGGCAUGUUGAUUCUCAACCUCACUCUGAAAUUCCUUGAACUUUUCAAAGGUCUCAGACUUGUGUUUCAUUAAGUAGACAUACCCAUAUCUACUCAAGUCAUCAGUGAGGGUGAGAACAUAACGAUAGCCACCGCGAGCCUCAACGCUCAUUGGACCGCACACAUCAGUAUGUAUGAUUUCCAAUAAGUUGGUUGCUCGCUCCACUGUUCCGGAGAACGGAGUCAUUUUGCCCAUGAGGCAUGGUUCGCACGCGUCAAAUGAUUCAUAAUCAAGAGACUCCAAAAGUCCAUCUGCAUGGAGUUUCUUCAUGCGUUUGACACCAACGUGACCAAGGCGGCAGUGCCACAAGUAUGUGGGACUAUCAUUAUCAACCUUACAUUUCUUGGCAUUCACACUAUGAAUAUGUGUAACAUCACGUUCGAGAUUCAUUAAGAAUAAACCAUUGACCAGCGGGGCAUGACCAUAAAACAUAUCUCUCAUAUAAAUAGAACAACCAUUAUUCUCGGAUUUAAAUGAGUAGCCAUCUCGCAUUAAACGAGAUCCAGAUACAAUGUUCAUGCUCAAAGCUGGCACUAAAUAACAAUUAUUGAGGUUUAAAACUAGUCCCGUAGGUAAAUGUAGAGGUAGCGUGCCGACCGCGAUCACAUCGACCUUGGAACCAUUCCCGACGCGCAUCGUCACCUCGUCCUUCGCCAGUCUCCGCUUAUUCCGCAGCUCCUGCUUUGAGUUACAAAUAUGAGCAACCGCACCGGUAUCAAAUACCCAGGAGCUACUACGAGCGUUGGUUAGGUACACAUCUAUAACAUGUAUAUCGCAUAUACCUUUGGUAUUGCCGGCCUUCUUAUCUGCUAAGUACUUGGGGCAGUUCCGCUUCCAGUGACCGUUUCCCUUGCAAUAAAAGCACUCAGUCUCAGGCUUGGGUCCAUUCUUUGUCUUCUUCCCGGCAGCUUGCUUACCGGGCGCGGCAACUCCCUUGCCAUCUUUCUUGAAGUACUUCUUAUCCUUGCCUUUCUUGAACUUAGUGGUUUUAUUCACCAUCAACACUUGAUGUUCCUUUUUGAUCUCCACCUCCGCUGAUUUCAGCAUUGAAUAUACCUCAGGAAUGGUCUUUUCCAUCCCCUGCAUAUUGAAGUUCAUCACAAAGCUCUUGUAGCUAGGUGGGAGCGACUGAAGGAUUCUGUCAACGACCGCGUCAUCCGGGAGAUUAACUCCCAGCUGAGACAAGCGGUUGUGCAACCCAGACAUUUUGAGUAUGUGUUCACUGACGGAACUAUUCUCCUCCAUCUUACAACUGUAGAACUUGUCGGAGACUUCAUAUCUCUCGACCCGGGCAUGAGCUUGGAAAACCAUUUUCAGCUCUUGGAACAUCUCAUAUGCUCCGUGCUGCUCAAAACGCUUUUGGAGCCCCGGUUCUAAGCUGUAAAGCAUGCCGCACUGAACCAGGGAGUAAUCAUCACUACGUGACUGCCAGGCGUUCCGAACGUCUUGAGUUGCUGGGAAAACAGGUGCAUCACCUAGCGGUGCUUCAAGGACAUAUGCUUUCUUGGCAGCUAUGAGGAUAAUCCUCAGGUUACGGACCCAGUCCAUGUAGUUGCUACCAUCGUCUUUCAGCUUGGUUUUCUCUAGGAACGCGUUGAAGUUGAGGGCAACAUUAGCGUGGGUCAUUUGAUCUACAAGACAUAUUGUAAAGGUUUUUUAGACUAAGUUCAUGAUAAUUAAGUUAAUCUAAUCAAAUUAUUAAUGAACUCCCACUCAGACAGACAUCCCUCUAGUCAUCUAAGUGAUACAUGAUCCGAGUCAACUAGGCCGUGUCCGAUCAUCACGUGAGACGGACUAGUCAUCAUCGGUGAACAUCUUCAUGUUGAUCGUAUCUGCUAUACGACUCAUGUUCGACCUUUCGGUCACUUGUGUUCCGAGGCCAUGUCUGUACAUGCUAGGCUCGUCAAGUCAACCUAAGUGUAUUGCGUGUGUAAAUCUGGCUUACACCCGUUGUAUGCGAACGUUAGAACCUAUCACACCCGAUCAUCACGUGGUGCUUCGGAACAACGAACCUUCACAACAGUGCAUAGUUAGGGGGAACACUUUCUUGAAAUUUUAGCGAGGGAUCAUCUUAUUUAUGCUACCGUCGUUCUAAGCAAAUAAGAUGUAAAACAUGAUAAACAUCACAUGCAAUCAAAUAGUGACAUGAUAUGGCCAAUAUCAUUUUGCUCCUUUUGAUCUCCAUCUUUGGGGCGCCAUGUUCAUCAUCGUCACCGGCAUGACACCAUGAUCUCCAUCAUCAUGAUCUCCAUCAUUGUGUCUUCAUGAAGUUGCUCGCCAACUAUUACUUCUACUACUAUGGCUAACGGUUAGCAAUAAAGUAAAGUAAUUACAUGACGUUCCAGUUGACACGCAGGUCAUAAAUAAAUUAAGACAACUCCUAUGGCUCCUGCCGGUUGUCAUACUCAUCGACAUGCAAGUCGUGAUUCCUAUUACAAGAACAUGAUCAAUCUCAUACAUCACAUAUAUCAUUCAUCACAUCCUUCUGGCCAUAUCACAUCACAUGACACUUGCUGCAAAAACAAGUUAGACGUCCUCUAAUUGUUGUUGCAAACUUUUACGUGGCUGCUAUAGGUUUCUAGCAAGAACGAUUCUUACCUACACCAAAACCACAACGUGAUAUGCCAAUUUCUAUUUACCCUUCAUAAGGACCCUUUUCAUCGAAUCCGAUCUGACUAAAGUGGGAGAGACAGACACCUGCUAGCCACCUUAUGCAACUAGUGCAUGUCAGUCGGUCGAACCUGUCUCACGUAAGCGUACGUGUAAGGUCGGUCCGGGCCGCUUCAUCCCACAAUGCCGCCGAAUCAAGAUAAGACUAGUAACGACAAGUAAAUUGACAAAAUCGACGCCCACAACAACUUGUGUUCUACUCGUGCAUAGAAACUACGCAUAGACCUAGCUCAUGAUGCCACAGUUGGGGAUCGUAGCAGAAAUUAAAAUUUUCUACGCAUCACCAAGAUCAAUCUAUGGAGUUUACUAGCAACGAGAGGGGAAGAGUGCAUCUACAUACCCUUGUAGAUCGCGAGCGGAAGCGUUCAAGAGAACGGGGUUGAUGGAGUCAUACUCGUCGUGAUCCAAAUCACCGAUGACCCAAGCGCCGAACGGACGACACCUCCGCGUUCAACACACGUACGGAGCGGUGAUGUCUCCCAUGCCUUGAUCCAGCAAGGAGGAGGGAGAGGUUGAGGAAGAAGGCUCCAACAGCAGCACGACGGCGUGGUGGUGGUGGAGUGACAGUUCUCUGGCAGGGCUUCGCCAAGCACACGCGGAGGAGGAGAGGUGUUGGGGAGGGGAGGGGCUGCGCCUUGGAUGUGGUGCUGCAGCCCUCCCCUCACCCCUCUAUUUAUAGGGAGAAGGGGGAAGGGGGCCGGCCCCUCUAGAUGAGAUCUAGAGGGGGGGCGGCCAAGGGGGGAGGGAGCUUGCCCCCCAAGCAAGGGGGGCGCCCCCCUUUAGGGUUCCCCCAAACCCUAGGCGCAUGGGCCCUAGGGGGGUUGGCGCCCAGCCCACUAAGGGCUGGUUCCCUUCCACCUACAGCCCAUAAGGCCCUCCGGGGCAGCUGGACCCUCCCGGCGGACCCCCGGAACCCCUCCGGUGGUCCGGGUACAAUACCGGUAUACCCCCGAAUAUUUCCGGUGACCGUAUGGUGACUUCCCAUAUAUAAAUCUUUACCUCCGGACCAUUUCGGAACUCCUCGUGACGUCCAGGAUCUCAUCCGAGACUCCGAACAACAUUCGGUAAUCACAUACAAACCUUCCUUAUAACCCUAGCGUCAUCGAACCUUAAGUGUGUAGACCCUACGGGUUCGGGAAUCAUGCAGACAUGACCGAGACACCUCGGUAGCCAAUAACCAACAGCGGGAUCUGGAUACCCAUGUUGGCUCCCACAUGUUCCACAUGAUCUCAUCAGAUGAACCACGAUGUCGAGGAUUCAAGCAAUCCCGUAUACAAUUCCCUUUGUCAAUCGGUACUUUACUUGCCCGAGAUUCGAUCCUCGGUAUCCCAAUACCUCGUUCAAUCUUGUUACGGGCAAGUCACUUUACUCAUUCCGUAAUGCAUGAUCCCGUGACUAACUACUUAGUCACAUUGAGGUCAUUAUGAUGAUGCAAUACUGAGUGGGCCCAGAGAUACCUCUCCGUCAUACAGAGUGACAAAUCCCAGUCUCGAUCCGAGCCAACCCAACAGACACUUUCGGAGAUACCUGUAGUGCACCUUUAUAGCCACCCAGUUACGUUGUGACGUUUGGUACACCCAAAGCAUUCCUACGGUAUCCGGGAGUUGCACGAUCUCAUGGUCUAAGGAAAUGAUACUUGACAUUAGAAAAGCUUUAGCAAACGAACUACACGAUCUAGUGCUAUGCUUAGGAUUGGGUCUUGUCCAUCACAUCAUUCUCCUAAUGAUGUGAUCCCGUUAUCAAUGACAUCCAAUGUCCAUGGUCAGGAAACCGUAACCAUCUAUUGAUCAACGAGCUAGUCAACUAGAGGCUCACUAGGCACAUGUUAUGGUCUAUGUAUUCACACAUGUAUUACGAUUUCCGGAUAACACAAUUAAAGCAUGAACAAUAGACAAUUAUCAUGAACAAGGAAAUAUAAUAAUAACCAUUUUAUUAUUGCCUCUAGGGCAUAUUUCCAACACACUGUUCAUUACGGGCCAGUUUCACCACGGGCCGUUAAUAGGCCAAGUGUUACAUAGGGCCUCAUAUGGGCCGAAAGACGUCAUGGGCCAUACAUGGGCCAGAAGUGAGAACGGGCUGGAAUCAUAUUGGGUGGCCCAGAUGAUGCUACUGGGCCUAAUUCGGAUAGGGCGUAACGGGCCUUGGGUUAGCGGGCUGUAAAUGGGCUAUAUGCGAACAUGCCGUUAACAGGCUUUACAUGGGCCGGCCCGCCACCUUUUGACCAAGUCAAACGGGCCGGCCUUUUCACAAGAAUGGGCCUCUGUUGGGCCAUGCCACGUGUCGACGUAUCAUAGGCGCCUUCUGUCCAAUGAGUGGAUGACAUCUGUCCCAACGAUGAGCCGCCACGUGUUUCCUCCAGCCAAUGAUGAUUUUACACGUGAAAAAUCCCCAUUGGUCGGGGUUGUUAACGGGUUAUCGGAUCCAAAACCCGACUCGAUAGCUUAAUGGCGUUCCGUUACGGUGGAUGCCAUGUGUCGGUCACCCUUGACGAAAGCACUUCUGUGACGCGGGAUUUAUCGUCAUGGAAGUGGACACUUCCGUGAUGAUAAUUUUGGUAAUGUCAUGGAAUACUUCUACGACAGCACAUGUAUGACUAUCUUGAUUCUGUCAUAAAAUCGUCAUGGAUGUACAUGCAUGAUAGAAAAUGCGACCUACUGUGACAAACACGUAUCAUCACGGAAGUGUAUUUUUUUUGUAGUGUGUGCAUCUGCGUUUGUACCCUUUUUCUUAAAUAAAGCAUGUGGUCAGAAGUUUCAAGUUGAACCACUAUAGUAGUACUAUCAUUUUAUAUUUGUUAAGAAUGGCUAAGUAUACUACUAGCACUUUAGCCUAACUCACGUUGGUGAGGUUAUUUGUGGUGGAACCAGUCAAUCAGAAUUCAAGUCCUAGAUUUGAGAGUGGUGCUCGUAUUUUUCUAAAUUUAUUUUAAAAUGUGUCGGUCCAAUUUUAUGAGGUGCUCACAGAAAUAGGGUGUGCGUAUGUACCUUAAGGAUGAAUGUAUAUGCAUUUGUAUGAGCAUCUGAAUAUUUGUACUGUGUUAAAAAAUAUUCGGAAAACUGUCAACAUUGGUAUGGUUAAAGAUGCAUGUAUAAUAAAUUCUUUUUGAGGGUGCAUGUAUAAUAAUUGGAUUCAUAGCAAAAGGUAAGGUUUUUCAUCCUUUAAACAAAAGAUCAACAGGAGGGCCCACUGAUCGAUUCUGUUUCCGAUUCCUCUCUCCGGUCCUGCGAGUGUCUGCCCCUGUCUCCAUGUUGUCGGAUCCGGGCCGCCUUUAGAGCAUCUCCAACAGCCGCGCUAAACAAGCGCCGCACCGCAAAAUUGCCCAUUUUAGCGCGCGCGCAAUCGGUAGAGUUGCUCCAGCGGGCGCGCAAAAACCAUGCGCGCGGCAUAUCUAGUUUAGCGCGCGGGCCGAAACUCCAUCGCGCGCCGCUUAUUUGCUGCGCCCGCUCCCGCGCGCUGGACUCUCGCGCGCUCGCUCGCAACUCGACCCCCCCAUCCAGCCGCGGCGCCGCCGCCGCCCGCGCCACCCGGCGACCGUUCCGGCGCUUCCCGGGCCUAUCCCCGCGCCGCGGCGGCUUCCUCCGCCCCCUUCUAGUCACCGUCGCCCCUCGCGUGCAGCCGUCCUCCGACAAACAAUGCCCGGGCGCUCGCUGGCGCUCGGCGCCCGCAAGGUGUUCGACAAAAUGCCUGCAAAGUAUGUAUUGCUCAAACUUCAUGAAUUUGGUGCAUGUUGUUUGUAGUUUUUAUAGCAUAGUAUUGAACAUUGUAGAUGAGUUCGUCGUAUGAUUCUUCUGAAGAAGAAUUUGAUAUGGAAGAGGAGGAGGAUCUUGCAAUGAUCGUAGCUAUGCACAUCAAUAAAAAACCGAAGCACGGUGGUUCGGUUAUGGGUCGGCAGAAAAUUUGGAGGGACAGGAUCGAUGCCCACAACAGAUUGAUCAGGCAUUAUUUUGCGAAGAAUCCCACAUACCCUGAGUCGUAUUUUCGUCGUCGGUUUAGGAUGAGCACCGAGUUGUUCAGGCGCAUUGCAGAGAAACUAGCGAGCCAUGACCGGUUUUUUAACAAAGGAGGAAUGCCGCCAGAGACCUCGGGCAUAGCACCUUUCAGAAGGUGACAACCGCUUUGCGUAUGUUGGCAUACGGUACCCCAGCUGAUCUAGUUGAUGAUCACUUGGCCAUGGGUGAGAGCCAAGCCAUCAUGUGUGUCAAGCGCUUCGCAGUCGGAAUUGUGCAAGUGUUUGGCCAGGAGUAUUUGAGAUCUCCCAAUGCUGAAGACGCCGCAAGUCUAUUGGAGAUGAACAAAGCUCGCGGCUUCCCUGGUAUGCUUGGCUCAAUAGAUUGCAUGCAUUGGAGUUGGAAGAAUUGUCCAAAGGCAUGGCAUGGGCAAUUCCACGGUCAAAAAAAGGGUUCCACUAUAAUCCUUGAAGCGGUGGCCGAUCAACAAACUUGGAUUAUGCAUGCUUUCUUUGGAAUGCAUAGAUAUUUGAAUGACAUCAACGUUGUCAGCCGGUCACCACUGAUGAAUAAGAUUGCAAAUGGUGAUUUGCCACCGGUGCAGUUUGUAGCAAAUGGUCGUACGUACAACUAUGGCUACUAUCUUGCGGAUGGCAUCUACCCAAAGUGGCAAACAUUUGUGAAGCCAUUAAAAAAACGGAAGGUAAGAAAAAUCUUGAUUUCCACAAUAAUCAGGCAGCGGCUAGAAAAGAUGUGGAGAGAGCUUUUGGGAUUUUGCAAGCCCAAUUUGCUAUUGUGAGAGGACCGGCUAGAUUUUGGGAUCAAAAGAUGCUUUGGUACAUCAUGCACGCUUGUGUGUGAAGGAAAUAUGCCCUAGAGGCAAUAAUAAAGUUGCUAUUUAUAUUUCCUUAUAUCAUGAUAAAUGUUUAUUAUUCAUGCUAGAAUUGUAUUAACCGGAAACUUAGUACAUGUGUGAAUACAUAGAAAAAUAGAGUGUCACUAGUAUGCCUCUACUUGACUAGCUCGUUAAAUCAAAGAUGGUUAAGUUUCCUAGCCAUAGACAUGAGUUGUCAUUUGAUUAACGGGAUCACAUCAUUAGAGAAUGAUGUGAUUGACUUGACCCAUUCCGUUAGCAUAGCACUUGAUCAUUUAGUAUGUUGCUAUUGCUUUCUUCAUGACUUAUACAUGUUCCUAUGACUAUGAGAUUAUGCAACUCCCGAAAACUGGAGGAACACUUAGUGUCCUACCAAACAUCACAAUGUAACUGGGUGAUUACUACAGGUGCCUCCGAUGGUACUUGUUGAGUUGACAUAGAUCGAGAUUAGGAUUUGUCACUCCGAUUGUCGGAGAGGUAUCUCUCGGCCCUCUCGGUAAUGCACAUCACUAUAAGCCUUGCAAGCAAUGUGACUAAUGAGUUAGUUGCGGGAUGAUGCAUUAUGGAAUGAGUAAAGAGACUUGCCGGUAACGAUAUUGAACUAGGUAUUGAGAUACCGACGAUCGAAUCUCGGGCAAGUAACAUACCGAUGACAAAGGUAACAACGUAUGUUGUUAUGCGGUUUGACCGAUAAAGAUCUUCGUAGAAUAUGUGGGAGCCAAUAUGAACAUCCAGGUUCCGCUAUUGGUUAUUGACCGUAGACGUGUCUCGGUCAUGUCUACAUAGUUAUCGAACCCGUAGGGUCCGCACGCUUAACGUUCGGUGACGAUCGGUAUUAUGAGUUUAUGUGUUUUGAUGUACCGAAGAUAGUUCGGAGUCCCAAAUGUGAUCACGGACAUGACGAGGAGUCUCAAAAUGGUCGAGACAUAAAGAUUGAUAUAUUGGAUGACUAUAUUCGGACACCGGAUGAGUUCCGGUGGUCACCGGAUAAUUAUCGGAGUGCCGGGGGGUUAUCGGAACCCCCGGGGGAACUAAUGGGCCAACAUGGGCCUUGUGAGAGAGAGUGGAGGGUCCUUAGGGCUGGCCGCGCCCCCCUGUGGAGUCCGAAUUGGACAAGGAGGGGGCGGUGCCCCAUUGUUCCCUCCUUCUCUCCCUCUCCUUCCUUCCCCCUUCCUCCCCCUAGUAGGACUAGGAAAGGGGAUCCUACUCCUACUAGGAGGAGGACUCCUCCUCUCCUGGCGCGCCCCAAGGGCCGGCCGGCCUCCCCCCUUGCUCCUUUAUAUACGGGGGCAGGGGGCACCUAGAACACACAAGUUGAUCAUUCUUUUAGCCGUGUGCGGUGCCCCCCUCCACCACAAUCCACCUCGAUCAUAUCGUUGUAGUGCUUAGGCGAAGCCCUGCGCCGGUAGCUUCAUCAUCACCGCCCUCACGCCGUCGUGCUGAUGAAGCUCUCCCUCGACACUCAGCUGGAUCGAGAGUUCGUGGGACGUCACCGAGCUGAACAUGUGCGGAUCGCGGAGGUGCCGUACUUUCGGUACUAGGAUCAGUCGGAUCGUGAAGGCGUGCGACUACAUGAACCGCGUUGUCAUAACGCUUCCGCUUACGGUCUACGAGGGUACAUGGACUACACUCUCCCCUCUCGUUGCUAUGUAUCACCAUGAUCUUGCAUGUGCGUAGGAAUUUUUUUGAAAUUACUGCGUUCCCCAACACUGGUAUAAGAGCCAGGUUUAUGCGUAGAUGUUAUAUGCACGAGUAGAACACAAGUGAGUUGUGGGCGAUAAUAGUCAUACUGCUUACCAGCAUGUCAUACUUUGAUUCGGCGGUAUUCUUGGAUGAAGUGGCCCGGACCGACAUUACGCGUACGCAUACGCGAGACUGGUUCUAUCGACGUGCUUCGCACACAGGUGGCCGGCGGGUGUCAGUUUCUCCAACUUUAGUUGGAUCGAGUGUGGCUACGCCCGGUCCUUGUUGAAAGUUAAAAUAGCACAUACUUGACGAAAAAUCGUUGUGGUUUUAAUGCGUAGGUAAGAACGGUUCUUGCUCAGCCCGUAGCAGCCACGUAAAACUUGCAACAACAAAGUAGAGGGCGUCUAACUUGUUUUUGCAGGGCAUGUUGUGAUGUGAUAUGGUCAAGACAUGAUGCUAAAUUUUAUUGUAUGAGAUGAUCAUAUUUUGUAACAGAGUUAUCGGCAACUGGCAGGAGCCAUAUGGUUGUCACUUUAUUGUAUGAAAUGCAAUCGCCAUGUAAUUGCUUUACUUUAUCACUAAGCGGUAGCGAUAGUCGUAGAAGCAAUAGUUGGCGAGAUGACAAUGAUGCUUCGAUGGAGAUCAAGGUGUCAAGCCGGUGACGAUGGUGAUCAUGACGGUGCUUUGGAGAUGGAGAUCAAAGGCACAAGAUGAUGAUGGCCAUAUCAUAUCACUUAUAUUGAUUGCAUGUGAUGUUUAUCUUUUAUGCAUCUUAUUUUGCUUAGUCCGGCGGUAGCAUUAUAAGAUGACCUCUCACUAAAUUUCAAGGUACAAGUGUUCUCCCUGAGUAUGCACCAUUGCGAAAGUUCAUCGUGCCGAGACACCACGUGAUGAUCGGGUGUGAUAAGCUCUACGUUCACAUACAAUGGGUGCAAGCCAGUUUUGCACACGCAAAAUACUCGGGUUAAACUUGACAAGCUAUGGCCUCGGAACACUGACACCGAAAGGUCGAGCGUGAAUCAUAUAGUAGAUAUGAUCAACAUAGUGAUGUUCACCAUUGAAAACUACUCCAUCUCACGUGAUGAUCGGACAUGGUUUAGUUGAUUUGGAUCACGUGAUCACUUAGAUGAUUAGAGGGAUGUCUAUCUAAGUGGGAGUUUAGUAAUAUGAUUAAAUGAACUUUAAUUUAUCAUGAACUUAGUACCUGAUAGUAUUUUGCAUGUCUAUGUUGUUGUAGAUAGAUGGCCGUGCUGUUGUUCCGUGAAUUUUAAUGCGUUCCUAGAGAAAGCUAAGUCAAAAGAUGAUGGUAGCAACUACACGGACUGGGUCUGUAACUUGAGGAUUAUCCUCAUUGCUGCAUAGAAGAAUUACGUCCUAGAAGCACCGCUAGGUGCCAAACCCGCUGCAGGAGCAACGCCAGAUGUUAUGAACAUCUGGCAGAGCAAAGCUGAUGACUACUCGAUAGUUCAGUGUGCCAUGCUUUCCGGCUUAGAACCGAGACUUCAGCGACGUUUUGAACGUCAUGGAGCAUACACUACUGGAAUCAGCUUCUUUGCCGCCCGCCAUGGCGGACGACAAAGGCUUAGACCACGAACGACAAACUUCCUUGCCGUCCGCUGGCGGAUGGCAAACUGUCCGGAUGAACACGUGCCAGCAAAGGCCUUCUUUGUCGUCCGCUUCCUAGAAAUGGACGGCAAAGGAUUAUGUCGUCCGCCGUCCGAGGCCAGCAGACGGCAAAGACAGUGGACGGCAGUGCGGUGGCGUGAUAGCCGUUAGGGGGUUAACGGCACUCUUUGCCGUCUAUCAGCGGACGACAAAGAGUCGAAGCUCUAUGGCGUCCGCUGACAGACGGCAAAGAGCUCAGCUAGGCAGCACUGGGAAGCUGCCACGUGUCCAUCUAUGCCGUCCGCCAGCAGACGGCAAAGAGGGUUGAAUCUUUGCCGUCUGCUGGCAGACGGCAUAGCUGGUCACUUUGCCGUGUCCCAGCGGACGGCAAAAUGACCAAAUAGGCAGCCAGUGUUCCCAGUCUGCACAGGUGACUGCCACGUGUCCUCCUUGCCGUCUGCUAGCGGACGGCAAAGAGGCUAUAUAUCCCCUGUUUUUAAUUAAAUCCCAUUAAUUAGACAUGGUUUCAAACACAAAUAUACAUGCAUACAUAUCCAACAUAUCUAACAGCAUGUCCAACAACAUAUUUCAUCAAAUCCAACAACAUAGGUCAACAAAGUCCAACAUAUCCAUAUAUACAUAACCAGAAACAAGUUUCCAACAACAUAUCCAAACAAGUUUUCAUAAACAACAAGGAAGCACCAGAAGAAUAGUACGCUCCAUGAAUCCAAGCUUGCUCAUGUAAAGCAAAUCUGCAAAUUGGGAAAGAUGAAAGUUAGAAGAAGAAGAAGUAGAAGACUAGUUAGAAGAAGAAGAAGAAGAAUAUUUUUUUCUUCUCUUUCUUUUUCUCCUCUCCUCUUCUUUAUCUUCUUCUUCUUCUAACUAAGGUAGGUAAAAAUGUCAUUUUAUUGCUAAGCUAGGUAAAAAUGCGAAGUGUAGGUCAUUUUAGAGCUAAGCUAGGUAAAUAGGUCAUUUUGGAGCUUAGUAAGGUUAUUAUGUCAUUUUCGAGGAAAAUAAGCUAAGUCUAUAUCAUUUUGGAGCUAACAAAGAUCAUCAUGCCAUUUUUUACCUAAGUAUGCUAAGUAUGUCAUAAAUGAACUGAAUAAGCUAUGUAUAGCUCAUUUUGGAAUCAGCUUCUUUGUCGUCCGCCAUGGCGGACGACAAAGGCUUAGACCACGGACGACAAACUUCCUUGCCGUCCGCUGGCGAACGGCAAACUGUCCGGAUGAACACGUGCCAGCAAAGGCCUUCUUUGUUGUCUGCUUCCUAGAAACGGACGGCAAAGGAUUAUGUCGUCCGCCGUCUGAGGCCAGCAGACGGCAAAGACUGUGGACGGCAGUGCGGUGGCGUGAGAGCCGUUAGGGGGUUAACGGCGCUCUUUGCCGUCUGCCAGCGGACGGCAAAGAGUCGAAGCUCUAUGGCGUCCGCUAACAGACGGCAAAGAGCUCAGCUAGGCAGCACUGGGAAGCUACCACGUGUCCAUCUAUGUCGUCCACGAGCAGACGGAAAAGAGGGUUGAAUCUUUGCUGUCUGCUGGCAGACGGCAUAGCUGGUCACUUUGCCGUCUGCCAGCGGACGGCAAAAUGACCAAAUAGGCAGCCAAUGUUCCCAGUCUGCACAGGUGACUGCCAUGUGUCCUCCUUGUCGUCAGCUAGCGGACGGCAAAGAGGCUAUAUAUCCCCUGUUUUUAUUUAAAUCCCAUUAACUAGACAUGGUUUCAAACACAGAUAUACAUGCAUACAUAUCCAACAUAUCCAACAGCAUGUCCAACAACAUAUUUCAUCAAAUCCAACAACAUAGGUCAACAAAGUCCAACAUAUCCAUAUGUACAUAACCAGAAACAAGUUUCCAACAACAUAUCCAAACAAGUUUUCAUAAACAACAAGGAAGCACCAGAAGAAUAGUACGCUCCAUGAAUCCAAGCUUGCUCAUGUAAAGCAAAUCUGCAAAUUGGGAAAGAUGAAAGUUAGAAGAAGAAGAAGAAAUAGAAGACUAGUUAGAAGAAGAAGAAUAUUUUUUUCUUCUCUUUAUUUUUCUCCUCUCCUCUUCUUUAUCUUCUUCUUCUUCUAACUAAGGUAGGUAAAAAUGUCAUUUUAUUGCUAAGCUAGGUAAAAAUGCGAAGUGUAGGUCAUUUUAGAGCUAAGCUAGGUAAAUAGGUCAUUUUGGAGCUUAGUAAGGUUAUUAUGUCAUUUUCGAGGAAAAUAAGCUAAGUCUAUAUCAUUUUGGAGCUAACAAAGAUCAUCAUGCCAUUUUUUACCUAAGUAUGCUAAGUAUGUCAUAAAUGAACUGAAUAAGCUAAGUAUAGCUCAUUUUUUAUCCAACUUAGGUAAUUAUGCCAUUUAGGAGCAAAAUAAGCUAAGUAUCCAUUUGUAAAGCAAAACACUAGAGAAAACUUACCCUCAUCACAACAAAUGUGAUGAAGAUCGCAACUAAGGUAACAAUUGAUCCAACGGCAUAAUGAUACCAAGCCUCAUUAUCAAUGGCAUAUUUUCUAAUCUUCUUAAGCUUCAGGCGCAUUGCAUCCAUCUUCAAGCGCAUUGCAUUCAUCUUCAUCUUGUGAUCAUCGAUGACAUCGGCAACAUACAACUCCAAUGUCAUCUUCUCUUCUUCAAUUCUUUUAAUUUUUUCUUUCAAAUACUCAUUUUCUUUUUCAACUAAAUUUAACUUCUCGACAAGAGGGUCCGUUUCGAAUUCCGGUUCACAUACCUCCUAGAUUAAAAUAUCUCUAUGUCAACUUGAUGGCCAUAAUUGUCAUAAAUGCGAAAUGCAACAAAUAGUUAUGAAAGAGAAUUUAGCACAUCCGAAUCAUAAAGCGGGCGAGGGCCGACCGGGACGGACAUCAAGACCAUGGCACUAUGUAUAAGAAACAAUCAUACAAAGUAAGAAAAUUAUAAAUACCAACUAUAUAAAUCAUACAAUCAUACAAAUAACUAUAUAAAUCAAGUACAACGUAAAAUUUGAAUACCUAAUAAUCACUAUCGGUAAUGACGUGCUCAUCAUCAUCAUUAAUAAAAGCAUCAUCACUAUCGGUAAUGACGUGCUCAUCGUCAUCAUUAAUAAAUGCAUCAUCAUGUGGAAGGCCACCUUUACGUAAUCGUUCAAGCAUUGACAGGUCAUCUGCAACAGUAACUUCUUCUUCUUCCGGCUCUUCUUGUUCCGGCUCAGGGGUGAAGUCGGAUUCACUAUCGUUGUCUACUUCAAUGUUCUGGGGUGGAGUAGAGCGGUUCUUGAAAUGUUUUUUUGGAAAGAUGUGUUUCUUGGAAGAAUUCUCCUUCGUCAUAUGUGUCUUGGUUAAUGUGAGGUUCAUAAUCCUUUUCAUUGGGGGGAGGUGGUCUAACACGUGGCGGCACUUCAUAAACAACGUCCCAACCACUGAGAUUUGGAUCACUUUCACAAGCCCACGGUAGAUAGAAAACUUGGGUUGCCUGUUGAGCCGUAAUAUAGACAUCGGGAACAUCCAAAUGGGUGCUUUGUUUGAUUUCGACUAGCCGUAUAUGUUCAUGAGUCCUUCUAGUCUCCCUCGCCUGGAACCAAUAACAUCUGAAGACUACGACGUUUGGUGGGUUUUCACCAUAGAAUUCAAGUUCAUAAAUUGCUUCAACUCUUCCAUAAUAUUUGAUACCUCCUUCACCGAUAGCAGAGACACAAAAAUUUGUAGACUUUCGGUCGGCCAUAGAUAGCUCUUUGCCAUAGGUACGAAAGUGAUACCCGUUGAUGUCGUAUUUGUCAAAUGAACGGACCUUAUAGUCAAAACCAUUAGCUACUUGUCUCAAUUCGGCAUCCAUAAUCUUUGAAUUAGCCUACAAGUUUAAUACGAAAGGAUUGUUGCAUUAGUUGCAAAUUAGCCAAAGAAAUGAAAGGGUCAAAUGGAAAUUACCAUUUUUUUGAACCAAGAGAUGAAACCGGGAUAUUCGGCUCCUUGUUUUGCCAGAAGCUCAUACUCUUCGAUGGAAUCCUUUUUUAUCACCGCUCCAUACGAGAAUAUGGCGACGUAUCGACUGCAUCAAAUAUCCAGGAAUAAGAGAAGUUCAAAGGAAUUAGAAGUUGUGAAACAAUGUACCGAGAUCUUACUCGAUUUACGACCGCACUUCUGUUAGGUUGUUGAAGAGAUACAGCGAAAUGGUCCGCCAUUCUUCAACAUCCAACCUUACUGGUUUCCAACCACUGGCUGGUGCGAGAUUCCCUUUGAAUAGGCUGAGGUUGGAUUGACCCUUUUGAGGUUCGUCAGCAUUGUACCGAGGCUUCGGAUUAUGCAAAUGACGAUUUUUGGCUUUGUAGUGUGCUGUCAUGAAGUUUGUCGACUCCUCAGUGAUGAAUGCCUCCGCCAUCGAUGCUUCUAUUCUACGUUUAUUUUUACAUUUUGCUCGAAGCAUCUUCUGCAUCCUCUCAGUUGAGUAGCACCAACGAUUUUUCACGCCCCCCCAAUCGUGCCUCGGUCGGAGAUGCAAAAUCAAGUGUUGCAUUGGAUUAAAGAAGCUUGGCGGAAAGAUCAUUUCUAACUUGCAGAUCAACUCUGGCGCCAACUGUUCCAUUUCUUCUAGGAGGCCAUGCGAUAGUUCUUUCGCACAAAGAACACGGAAGAAAUAGCUUAGCUCUGCCAGCACUAGCCAUUCAUCCUCAGGGAUGAAGCCACGCAACAUCACCGGCAUUAUCCGCUCAAUCCAUAUGUGCCAAUCAUGACUUUUUAGACCAAAUAUUUUCAAUUUUUGAAGACUCGCUCCCCUCUUUAGAUUUGCUGCAUACCCAUCGGGGAACAUCAACUGCAUUUUCACCCAUAAAAUAAUUUCCUUCAUAGCUGGCCUUCCAAGAUUGAACCAUGCCUUUCGCUUCAUCCAGUUCCCCUUUCCUUUCGGUUCUUUCAUGUUUUGUAACGGUCUAUCACAUAGCUCCUCUUGAUCGACUCUAGCCUUAGUAUUAUCCUUUGAUUUCCCCUCUAUGUCGACAAUGUACCAAAAAUGGCUUCGGCGAUAUUCUUUUCAGUGUGCAUCACGUCGAUGUUGUGUGGGCAAAGGCCGUCUUUGAAGUAAGGCAGAUCCCAGAAGCAUGUCUUGUGAGUCCAAGCGUGUUCCUUAUUAUACCCCUUGAAAUACCCUGGACGAUCUAGAUCUGGCUCAAGAGCGUUUAACUGAUCUAGGGUCUGUUGGCCUGUCAACGCAGGUGGUGCAUAGUGUUUGACAACUCUACCUUUGAUGAAGUUCUUCUUGUCUUUCCUGAACUUAUGGCUAGGAUGUAGAAACGGUCUAUGCAAGUCGAAGCAACUAUACUUGUGCCCUGCCGUUAGCCAAUGAAACUCAAGAGCUCCCUUGCAUGUGGGGCACGGGAACCUUCCAUGCACACACCAGCCAACGAAUAGCGCAUACGCCGGCAAGUCAUGCGUCGAGUACAUGUACCAGGCACGCAUUAUGAAGUUCUCUUUGCUAAAGGCGUCGUAUGUCUUGAACCCAUUAUCCCAAGCUUCUUGCAAUUCGUCCUUAAGCGGCUGCAUGUACACAUUCAUAUUCUUCCCCGGAUAGUUGGGCGCUGGAAUUAUCAACGUCAAGAAAAUGUUCUUUCUUUGCAUAAUCUGCAAGGGGGGGGAUUGAGUGGAAUGAAAAACACGGGCCAACAGCUGUAUGGGGUUGCCAUCUGACCAAACACACCGAACCCAUCUGUGCUGACGGCGACUCGAGGAUGCCUUGGAUCUGCCAUUUUUUCCUUAUGUAAUGCAUCAAAGCGCUUCCACGCUUCACCAUAUGAUGUGUGCACCAUCAUCACAUUCCCAUUUGCAUCUAGUUUGGUUCUUUUGCCCGUUUUGUGCCAUGUCAUCUGUCUGGCCGUCUCUUCGACCAUGAAAAGACGUUGAAGUCUUGGUACGAUUGGCAUAUACCGAAGAACAUUAACGGGUAUUUUGGUCUGCAUCUUCUCACCCAUACCGUUGUCUACCACAACAUACCUGGAAGAAUUGCAAAUGGGACAAUAGUUCAAGUCCUCAUAUUGAAGCCUAAAUAAGACACAUCCUUUCUCACAGGCAUGUAUCUUCUCAUAGGGCAUCUUAAGAGCACGGAGGAUUUUGUCUGACUGAUACAGGUUUGGAGGUAGCACAUGGCCUUUGGGUAGAAAUGUCCGAAUACUGUCAUCAUCGCGUCGUAGCAUUCUCUGCCCAAGUUGAAUUGAGCCUUCAAAGCCAUUAUUUGUGAGAUGGCAUCCAGCUGACAAAGCUCAGUGUGCUCAUGGAGAGGAUGUUUUGAGGACUCCAACAUUUCAGUGAAGGCCUUUGCAGAUUCCUCCAUCUCCUCGUCCGAGUCCCGAGCAUCAUCAAAGUCUUGCACCAUGUCUGCGGUCCCGGUACCAUGCUCGUCGGUGCGACGACGAACCACCUCGGCUCUGGCACGUUGGGCAGACUCACCAUGUAAUGUCCAGACCGUGUAACCAGGCGUAAAACCAAACUUCUGCAUGUCUUUACUCAUUUCAAGCUCGUCCCUCUUUUUAUAGUUGUCGCAACGGGCACAGGGGCACCAGCUAAAUUCCUGGCCAUUUGCAAAUGCGGCUCUAACAAACCCCUUGGUUUUUGUUAACCAUUCCUCGGUCCAAACUUUCAGACUAGUGUAACCGGUGUACAUCCAUGCACGAUCACUCAUAUUGACUUCCUACUGGACACACAAGAAAUAUAUACAUAAUUAAGCAAACCAUAUCCAUCAGUUAAUGGAGUUUGUCAGUUUUAUUACAUCCAUGCAACCUACACGCUAAUAGGUAAAGAUAGGUCCUAAUCCCACCCAAGUAUGUGUAGAUUGGGUUCAUUUUCCCAUGCUUUGCUCCGGAUCCGACGCAAAAUUUCGGCAGCACCUCCCCGUUGUUCUCCUGAUACACGUCUCGGCAAUAACCAGGGAGGAUGUGUACCCGAAGAACAACAGGGAGGCACUGACGAAAUUCUGCAUCGGAUCCGGAGCAGAGCAUAUGGGAAAAUGAACCCAAUCUACACAUACUCAGGCUGUCCAUGGAUAACGUUGGACAAUUCGAAAGAAUCACGAUUAUAAAUAUGCAAAUGCAUGCAUAUUUAUAGAUGUAACCCUUUCGAACGGGAGACGCAUAGUGGUUACGCAUACUGAUGAUUGACACCUACAGCUAGCAAGUUUCAUUGGGAGAUGUCAUUUGUGCUCACCAAUGAACGCAGGGGUGGAGCUCGUCGAACACUAGACCCUCGCAGCAACGAAAUAACUGCACAUUUAAAUCCAAAGAUGAGUAACAUAGCAAUUUUGUUUCUUCCGUCGACCUAACCAAAUAUUGACAACAGGACGAGCGGGUUAGGGGGUCCUUGGCGUCGAUGGAACCCUAAAUAGCAAGUAUCAUCGGUGCGAGAUACAUGUGGCGCUCAGCGUUGAACACUAGAUCCACAUUCCACAAGUGAAGCCGGCGCCCGGCGUCCCGCAACAAUAGUUCUGGUGGCCGAUGACGGUUGAACACCAUCGCGAAUUUGUCUGGCAGCCUCUGCAAUGAGGAUUAAAGCCAGGUUUUGAAAUUUCAAACAACCUAACCGACUUGAGUCAGUUUGGGUGUUUCAAGUUGAUAACCCACAAGUAUAGGGGAUCACAACAGUUUUCGAGGGUAGAGUAUUCAACCCAAAUUUAUUGAUUCGACACAAGGGGAGCCAAAGAAUAUUCUCAAGUAUUAGCAGUUGAGUUGUCAAUUCAACCACACCUGGAUAACUUAGUAUCUGCAGCAAAGUAUUUAGUAGCAAAGUAAUAUGGAAGUAACGGUAACGGUAGCAAAAGUAAUAUUUUUGGGUUUUGUAGUGAUUGUAACAGUAGCAACGAAAAGUAAAUAAGCGAAGAACAAUAUGUGAAAAGCUCGUAGGCAUUGGAUCGGUGAUGGAGAAUUAUGUCGGAUGCGGUUCAUCAUGUAACAAUCAUAACAUAGGGUGACAUAGAACUAGCUCCAAUUCAUCAAUGUAAUGUAUGCAUGUAUUCCAAAUAUAGUCAUACGUGCUUAUGGAAAAGAACUUGCAUGACAUCUUUUGUCCUACCCUCCCGUGGCAGCGGGGUCCUAUGGGAAACUAAGGGAUAUUAAGGCCUCCUUUUAAUAGAGUACCGGACCAAAGCAUUAACACAUAGUGAAUACAUGAACUCCUCAAACUAUGGUCAUCACCGGGAGUGGUCCCGAUUAUUGUCACUUCGGGGUUGCCGGAUCAUAACACAUAGUAGGUGACUAUAGACUUGCAAGAUAGGAUCAAGAACUCACAUAUAUUCAUGAAAACAUAAUAGGUUCAGAUCUGAAAUCAUGGCACUCGGGCCCUAGUGACAAGCAUUAAGCAUAGCAAAGUCAUAGCAACAUCAAUCUCAGAACAUAGUGGAUACUAGGGAUCAAACCCUAACAAAACUAACUCGAUUACAUGAUAAAUCUCAUCCAACCCACCACCGUCCAGCAAGCCUACGAUGGAAUUACUCACGCACGAUGGUGAGCAUCAUGAAAUUGGUGAUGGAGGAUGGUUGAUGAUGACGAUGGCGAAGGAUUCCCCUCUCCGGAGCCCCGAACAGACUCCAGAUCAGCCCUCUCGAGAGAGAUUAGGGCUUGGCGGCGGCUCCGUAUCGUAAAACACGAUGAAUCUUUCUCUCUGAUUUUUUUCUCCCCGAACACGAAUAUAUAGAGUGGGAGUUGAGGUCGGUGGAGCUCCAGGGGGCCCACGAGGCAGGGGCGCGCCCAGGGGGCAGGUGCGCCCCCCACCCUCGUGGAAAGGGUGUGGGCCCCUGGCCUUGAUUCUUUUGCGAGUAUUUUUAUUAUUUCAAAAAAUAAUCUCCGUGAAGUUUCAGGUCAUUCCGAGAACUUUUGUUUCUGCACAUAAAUAACACCAUGGCAAUUCUGCUGAAAACAGCGUCAGUCCGGGUUAGUUCCAUUCAAAUCAUGCAAGUUAGAGUCCAAAACAAGGGCAAAAGUGUUUGGAAAAGUACAUACGACGGAGACGUAUCAACUCCCCCAAGCUUAAACCUUUGCUUGUCCUCAAGCAAUUCAGUGGAUAAACUGAAAGUGAUAAAGAAAAACUUUUACAAACUCUGUUUGCUCUUGUUGUUGUAAAUAUGUAAAGCCAGCAUUCAAGUUUUCAGCAAAGAUUAUGACUAACCAUAUUCACAAUAACAUUUAGGUCUCAUGUUUACUCAUGUCAAUGGCAUAAUCAACUAGCGAGCAAUAAUAAUAAAUCUCGGAUGACAACACUUUCUCAAAACAAUCAUAAUAUGAUAUAACAAGAUGGUAUCUCGCUAGCCCUUUCUGAGACCGCAAAACAUAUAUGCAGAGCACCUUUGAAGAUCAAGGACUGACUAAACAUUGUAAUUCAUGGUAAAAGAGAUCCAGUCAUAGUCAUACCCAAUAUAAAUUAAUAGUAAUGGACGCAAAUGACAGAGGUGCUCUCCAGCUGGUGCUUUUUAAUAAGAGGGUGAUGACUCAACAUAAAAUUAAAUAGAUAGGCCCUUCGCAGAGGGAAGCAGGGAUUUGUAGAGGUGCCAGAGCUCGAUUUUAAAGCAGAGAAAAAUAAUAUUUUGAGCGGCAUACUUUCAUUGUCAACAUAACAACCAAGAGAUGGCGAUAUCUUCCAUGCUACACACAUUAUAGGCGGUUCCCAAACAGAAUGGUAAAGUUUAUACUCCCCCUCCACCAACAAGCAUCAAUCCAUGGCUUGCUCGAAACAACGAGUGCCUCCAACUAACAAGAGUCCCAGUGCCAUUGUUGUUUGACUGAUUUUUUUCAUCUCAAAACCCCGAUAAAGCUGCUAGUGCCGGGUAAACUCAUAUUGGCUAAAGUGAAAAAGAAGAAAAUGGUAGUGAAAUUCGGCAUGGUGCUCACUAAACCUCCAUAAUAUCUAACAAGUCGAGUCUUAUGUCGGUCAUAUAGAACACCAACACAUAGAAAAAGGGCUGAAGAAACCAGUCCAUGACUUAACAUAAGGAUUUGGCCGAAAAAGAUGCAACGUUAUGGAUACCAUGACCGAUCACCAUCGAGAAAGAAGAAUUUUGAUAAAUCACUUCGGGUUUGCAAUUAUUUUGAUUUUAUUUGCAUAAAGCAUGGGACUGGGCAUCCCGAUGACCAGCCAUUUUCUCGUGAGUGAGGAGCGGAGUCCACUCCUCUUGAGAAUAACCCGCCUAGCAUGGAAGAUACAGACAACCCUAGUUGAUACAUGAGCUAUUCGAGCAUGCAAAACAGAAUUUCAUUUGAAGGUUUAGAGUUUGGCACAUACAAAUUUACUUGGAACGACAGGUAGAUACCGCAUAUAUAGGAAGGUAUGGUGGACUCAUAUGGAAUAACUUUGGGGUUUAAGGGAUUGGAUGCACAAACAGUAUUCCCGCUUAGUAGAAGUGAAGGCUAGCAAAAGACUGGGAAGCGACCAACUAGAGAGCGACAACAGUCAUGAACAUGCAUUAAAAUUAAUAAACAUUGAGUGCAAGCAUAAGUAGGAUAUAAUCCACCAUGAACAUAAAUAUCGUGGAGGCUAUGUUGAUUUUGUUUCAACUACAUGUGUGAACAUGUGCCAAGUCCAGUCACUUGAAUCAUUCAAAGGAGGAUACCACCGUACUAUACCACAUCACAACCAUUUUAAUAGCAUGUUGGCACGCAAGGUAAACCAUUAUAAACUCCUAGCUAAUUAAGCAUGGCAUAAGCAACUAUAAUCUCUAAUUGUCAUUGCAAACAUGUUUAUUCAUAAUAGGCUGAAUCAGGAACGAUGAACUAAUCAUAUUUACAAAAACAAGAGAGGUCGAAUUCAUACCAGCUUCUCUCAUCUCAAUCAGUCCAUCAUAUAUCGUCAUAAUUGCCUCUCACUUGCACGACCGAACGAUGUGAAAAAAUAAUAAUAGUGCACGUGCAUUGGACUAAGCUAGAAUCUGCGAGCAUUCAAUAAACAGGAGAAGACAAGGCAAUAUGGGCUCUUGGUUAAAUCAACAAUAAUGCAUAUAAGAGCCACUUCAACAAUUUUAUUAUGGUCUUCUCCUAUCGACCCCCAAAGAAAAGAAAAGAAAUAAAACUAUUUACACGGGAAAGCUCCCAACAAGCAAAAGAAGAACAGAAAAUCUUUUUGGGUUUUCUUUUUUAAUUACUACUACUACAGCAUGGAAAGUAAACUAGCUAAAAGCUACAACUGAUCUUUUUGUUUUCUUAAGGUUUUACAAACACACAAGAAGAAAGCAAGAAAAACAAAAUAAACUAGCAUGGAUAUUACAGUGAAAAAGUAUGAGCGCCGACAUCUAGCAAUGAGUGUGUAAACAUAAAUGUAAUGUCGGCGAGAAAUACAUACUCCCCCAAGCUUAGGCUUUUGGCCUAAGUUGGUCUACUGCCAAGGCUGGCUUGGCGGAUAUCCAAAGUUAUAGUUGGGGUCGUACUGAGAAGAAGCCUCGGAUUGCCACUGGUUGGCAAUCACCUCUGGAUCCCACUGGUAAUUAGACUGUCGUGGAGGAUCAAAUUGUGGUUCCGGCUCUGGCUCUGGCUCUGUAGGAUUCCGGUAGGCGUGGAUGGCCGCCAGCGGAAUGAGAUACUGGCCUGCAGAUAAAUCAAACAAGGAAGGAGCAGGCAAGGUAAUAGUCUCAGGGUGAUUCUUAUCAAAUAACAGUUUGUAUUUAAGCGCCCUUUCCCUAUUCUUAACAAUAAAAUCAUGCGCUACCAUACUCUUAUAGUCUAGAAGAAUAGUAGGCAGCAAUUUUUCUUCUUUCUCAUAGUGCCUAAUAGGUAUGUUAUAGUAUGCAGCGAGGUGCGAGGCGAAGAUGCCUCCCAAGAUGGGGCCUUUAGUACGGUUAAGAUUUAACCGCUUUGCAACAAUAGCGCCCAUACUAAAUGUGUCAUCACGAAACAAGGCAUGGCACAAAAUGAUAAUAUCAGGGACACUCAGGUUUCCAUAGUUUCCGCGACCAAUUAAGCACCUACUAGCAAAUAUAGCAAAGUAACGUAGAACAGGAAAAUGUAUGCUAGUGAUUCGUGCGUCGAAAACCUUCCUCGUUUCCCCUACAACAAUUGUAUCAAUAAACCCCUCCACAUCGUUACGAUGUGGUUCCUCUAUGAAACCCGGAAAAGGUAACUUGCAAACCUCACAGAAUUCACGAAGGGUCAUCUCCUUAUACUCAUCAUAUAAAUGAAAAUCCACCGUAGGUGGUGACCUCCUAGAAUGGAAAUGAAAAUUUUGCACAAAGGUAUUGGUGAGUAAGAGAUACUGUUCGCGUUGGUCGCGGAGGAAGUCGGUGAGGCCUGCAUUCUCAGCCAACUCAUAAAAAUCAUCAUAAAUCCCGGCUGCUCUCAAGAAAUCAUCGCAAGGCCAUUCACACGGCCGAACCUCCGUGGUGCGAGGCAGAUUAUAUUUGGGCCUCUCUUCUUCUUCACUUUGCUUUUCCUUCGAGCUUCGGCUCGAUGAGCCCCUCAAAAAUCUCUUCAUCAUUUUCUGAAAAUUUCUGAAAUUUUUAGUAACUUCAAAAUAAAAGUGAACCAAGCUCAACAAAAUUGAUAGCAACUACUCCCAUAAGUGCCUAGAGAAUAUAUCAUGCAUUAGAACUACUUGGAACCAUAUAAAUAUGACAUGCAAGCUCAAGAACAUGGUCACCUAGGCAGCACAAAUUUGCAACGAAUAAAACACUAGAACAAAAACUAAUUGGACCAAUGGAGGAGUCACAUACCAAGGAACAAUCCCUCAAAGCAGUUUUGUGAGAGGUGCCUUGAGCAAGGAGAUCAAAAUGAGCUAGAACUCGUGCUUGAGCUGGUUGGUGAUUUUUUGGGAGGAAGAAGGAGUGUGUGGGUGCAGGAAUAAGUGGAGGGGAGCCACCGUGGGCCCAUGAGGCAGGGGGGGCGCCCAGGGGGGUGGGUGAGCCCUGGACCCUCGUGGCCAGGUGCCAGCUCCCCCUGCUGUGUUCUCAGUGCCAGAUAUUCUCAAAUAUUCCAGAAAAAAUCAUAUUAAAUUGGCAGGGAAUUUGGAGAACUUUCAUUUUCGGGGUAAUUUUUUAUUGCACGGAUAAUGCAGAAAACAGACAGAAAAUACUAAUUUUACUUUAUUUCAACUAAAUAACAGAAAGUAAAAGGAGGGUACAGAAGGUUGUGCUUUCUAACUUCAUCCAUUUCAUGCUCAUCAAAAGGAAUCCACUAACAAGGUUGAUCAGGUCUUGUUAACAAACUCAUUUCGAAUAACAUGAAACCAGAGAAAUUUCGAAUAACACUAUGUUACCUCAAUGGGGAUGUGCACAUCCCCAAUAAUAAGAAUAUCAUAUCUCUUUUUGACGGUAGGAAGAGGAAAUUCAAAACCUCCAAAAAUAAUCAAUGGAAUUUUUCCAAUAGAAUUGAUACUGUGGACUUGAGGUUGUUUCCCCGGAAAGUGUACCGUAUGCUCAUUGCCAUUAACAUGAAAAGUGACAUUGCCUUUGUUGCAAUCAAUAACAGCCCCUGCAGUAUUCAAAAAGGGUCUUCCAAGAAUAAUAGAUAUAUUAUCGUCCUCGGGAAUAUCAAGAAUAACAAAGUCCGUUAAAAUAGUAACGUUUGCAACCACAACAGGCACAUCCUCGCAAACACCGACAGGUAUAGCAGUUGAUUUAUCAGCCAUUUGCAAAGAUAUUUCAGUAGGUGUCAACUUAUUCAAAUCAAGUCUACGAUAUAAAGAGAGAGGCAUAACACUAACACCGGCUCCAAGAUCACAUAAAGCAGUUUUAACAUAGUUUAUUUUAAUGGAGCUAGGUAUAGUAGGUACUCCAGGAUCUCCUAACUUCUUUGGUAUUCCACCCUUAAAAGUAUAAUUAGCAAGCAUGGUGGAAAUUUCAGCUUCCGGUAUCUUUCUUUUAUUUGUAACAAUAUCUUUCAUAUACUUAGCAUAAGGAUUCAUUUUGAGCAUAUCAGUUAAACGCAUACGCAAAAAGAUAGGUCUAAUCAUUUCAGCAAAGCGCUCAAAAUCCUCAUCAUCCUUUUUCUUGGAUGGUUUGGGAGGAAAGGGCAUGGGUUUCUGAACCCAUGGUUCUCUUUCUUUACCAUGCUUCCUAGCAACAAAGUCUCUCUUAUCAUAACGUUGAUUCUUUGAUUGUGGGUUAUCAAGAUCAACAGCAGGUUCAAUCUUUACAUCAUUGUUAUUACUAGGUUGAGCAUCAACAUGAACAUCAUCAUUAGCAUUAUCACUAGGUUCAUGUUCAUUACCAGAUUGUGUUUCAGCAUCAGAAAUAGAAAUAUCAUUUGGAUUCUCAGGUGUGUCUAUAACAGGUUCACUAGAAGCAUGCAAAGUCCUAUCAUUUUUCCUUUUCUUCUUUUUAGAAGGACUAGGUGCAUCUACAUUAUUUCUCUGAGAAUCUUGCUCAAUUCUCUUAGGGUGGCCCUCAGGGUACAAAGGUUCCUGAGUCAAUUUACCCCCUCUAGUCAUAACUCUAACAGCGUUAUCAUUUUUCUUACUAUUUAAUUCAUUGAGCAAAUCAUUCUGAGCUUUAAGUACUUGUUCUACUUGAGUGGUAACCAUAGAAGCAUGUUUACUAAUAAGUUUAAGUUCACCUUUAACUCUAGACAUAUAAUCACUCAAGUGUUCAAGCAUAUAAGAAUUGUGUUUCAAUUGUCUACCAACAUAAGCAUUGAAGUUUUCUUGUUUGACAAUAAAAUUAUCAAACUCAUCUAAGCAUUGGCUAGCAGACUUAUAACGAGGAAUAUCACCUUCAUCAAAUCUAUAGAGAGAAUUUACCUUUACUACCAGUGUCGGGUUACCAAGACCAUGUGUUUCUUCAAUAGGUGAUGGAUUAAGACUAUUUCUUCAACAAGCGGUAAAUUAAGACCAUGUAUUUCUUCAAUAGGAGGUAAAUUCUUAACAUCUUUAGCUUUAAUACCCUUUUCUUUCAUAGAUUUCUUUGCCUCUUGCAUAUCUUCAGGGCUAAGAAAUAGAACACCCCUCUUCUUCGGAGUUAGCUUGGGAGUUGGUUCAGGAAGUGUCCAAUUAUUUUCAUUUGUCAACAUAUUAUUCAAUAGAAUUUUAGCUUCAUCUAGUGUUCUUUCCCUGAAAACAGAACCAGCACAACUAUCCAGGUGGUCUCUGGAAGCAUCGGUUAGUCCAUUAUAAAAGAUAUCAAGUAUUUCAUUUUUCUUAAGAGGAUGAUCAGGCAAAGCAUUAAGUAAUUGGAGAAGCCUCCCCCAAGCUUGUGGGAGACUCUCUUCUUCAAUUUGCACAAAAUUAUAUAUUUCCCUUAAAGCAACUUGUUUCUUACGAGCGGGGAAAUAUUUAGCAGAGAAGUAAUAAAUCAUAUCCUGGGGACUACGCACACAACCAGGAUCGAGAGAAUUAAACCAUAUCUUAGCAUCACCCUUUAAUGAGAACGGAAAUAUUUUAAGGAUAUAGUAGUAGCGAGUUUUCUCAUCAUUAGUGAACAGGGUGGCUAUAUCAUUUAAUUUAGUAAGAUGUGCCACAAAAGUUUCAUAUUCAUAGCCAUAAAAAGGAUCAGAUUCAACCAAAGUAAUUAUAUCAGGAUCAAUAGAGAAUUCAUAAUCCUUAUCAGUAACAAAGAUAGGUGAAGUAGCAUAAGCAGGAUCAUAUUUCAUUCUAGCAUUCAAAGUUUUUUGUUUCAGCUUAGCUAAUAAUUUCUUAAGAUCACUUCUAUGAUUGCAAGCAAGAAAGUCUCUAGCAGUUUCUUCAUCCAUAACAUAGCCCUCAGGCACAACAGGCAAUUCAUAUCUAGGGGGAGAAUCUUCAACAUCACUUUCAUCAAUAUUAUCAGUUUCAAUAAUUUCAUUCUCUCUAGCCCUAGCAAAUUGUUCAUCAAGAAAUUCACCAAGUGGCACAGUAGUAUCAAGCAUAGAAGUAGUUUCAUCAUAAGUAUCAUACAUAGUAGAAGUGGCAUCAUCAAUAACAUGCGACAUAUCAGAAUUAAUAGCAGAAGCAGGUUUAGGUGUCGCAAGCUUACUCAAAACAGAAGGUGAAUCAAGUGCAGAGCUAGAUGGCAGUUCUUUACCUCCCCUCGUAGUUGAGGGAUAAAAUUUUCUUUUCUCGUCUUUCAAGUUCUUCCUAGUGACCAGCAGAUAUAAAUCCCAAGUGACUCAAAGAGUAGAGCUAUGCUCCCCGGCAACGGCGCCAGAAAAUAGUCUUGAUAACCCACAAGUAUAGGGGAUCGCAACAGUUUUCGAGGGUAGAGUAUUCAACCCAAAUUUAUUGAUUCGACACAAGGGGAGCCAAAGAAUAUUCUCAAGUAUUAGUAGUUGAGUUGUCAAUUCAACCACACCUGGAUAACUUAGUAUCUGCAGCAAAGUAUUUAGUAGCAAAGUAAUAUGGAAGUAACGGUAACGGUAGCAAAAGUAAUAUUUUUGGGUUUUGUAGUGAUUGUAAUAGUAGCAAUGGAAAAGUAAAUAAGCGAAGAACAAUAUGUGAAAAGCUCGUAGGCAUUGGAUCGGUGAUGGAGAAUUAUGCCGGAUGCGGUUCAUCAUGUAACAAUCAUAACAUAGGGUGACACAGAACUAGCUCCAAUUCAUCAAUGUAAUGUAGGCAUGUAUUCCGAAUAUAGUCAUACAUGCUUAUGGAAAAGAACUUGCAUGACAUCUUUUGUCCUACCCUCCCGUGGCAGCGGGGUCCUAUGGGAAACUAAGGGAUAUUAAGGCCUCCUUUUAAUAGAGUACCGGACCAAAGCAUUAACACAUAGUGAAUACAUGAACUCCUCAAACUAUGGUCAUCACCGGGAGUGGUCCCGAUUAUUGUCACUUUGGGGUUGCCGGAUCAUAACACAUAGUAGGUGACUAUAGACUUGCAAGAUAGGAUCAAGAACUCACAUAUAUUCAUGAAAACAUAAUAGGUUCAGAUCUGAAAUCAUGGCACUCGGGCCCUAGUGACAAGCAUUAAGCAUAGCAAAGUCAUAGCAACAUCAAUCUCAUAACAUAGUGGAUACUAGGGAUCAAACCCUAACAAAACUAACUCGAUUAUAUGAUAAAUCUCAUCCAACCCAUCACCUUCCAGCAAGCCUACGAUGGACUUACUCAUGCACGGCGGUGAGCAUCAUGAAAUUGGUGAUGGAGGAUGGUUGAUGAUGACGAUGGCGACGGAUUCCCCUCUCCGGAGCCCCGAACGGACUCCAGAUCAGCCCUCCCGAGAGAGAUUAGGGCUUGGCGGCGGCUUCGUAUCGUAAAACACGAUGAAUCUUUCUCUCUGAUUUUUUCUCCCCAAACACGAAUAUAUAGAGUUGGAGUUGAGGUCGGUGGAGCUCCAGGGGGCCCACGAGGCAGGGGCGCGCGCCCAGGGGGGCAGGUGCGCCCCCACCCUCGUGGAAAGGGUGUGGGCCCCUGGCCUUGAUUCUUUUGCGAGUAUUUUUUAUUAUUUCCAAAAAUAAUCUCCGUGAAGUUUCAGGUCAUUCCGAGAACUUUUGUUCCUGCACAUAAAUAACACCAUGGCAAUUCUACUGAAAACAGCGUCAGUCCGGGUUAGUUCCAUUCAAAUCAUGCAAGUUAGAGUCCAAAACAAGGGCAAAAGUGUUUGGAAAAGUAGAUACGACAGAUACGUAUCACAAGUUUCAACACUUGCCUUUUAAUCGUCAUCGCAGAGGCUGCCAGACAAAUUCGCGAUGGUGUUCGACCGCCAUCGACGCGAGAACAGUUGCUUUGGGAUGCCGGACGUCGGCGUCACUUGUGGGACAUGGAUGUAGUGUUCGGCACCGACGAUACUUGCUAUUUAGGGUUCCAUCGACACCGAGGAACCCCUAAUUAACCCGCUCGUCCCCGGGCGCCCCCUUUUCCUACUUCUUUUUUUCAUCUUCAACUUCUACUUCUUUUUUUCAUCAUCUUCUUCUUCAACUACUUAUUGUUCUUUCUUCUUCUUCUUCUUCUUCCUCAUCUUCUUUUUCUUUUUCUUUUUCUUUCAUCUUUCUUGAUUAUUCUUAAAAACAGGAAAAAAACCUAAACAAAACUAUAAACUAAAUGUAACCUAUAAUAAACUAAAUUAACCUAAACUAACCUAAAUAACCUAAACUAACCUAAACUAAACUAACCUAAUUAACCUAAACUAAACAAACAUAAACUAAAUCUAAAAAACAGGAAAAAAAACUCACCACGAUGAGGGGCAGGGCGGCGGCGGUGUGGUGCGGCCGGGCGGCGGCGGCUCAGGACGGGGGCGGGGCGGUGUGGGNNNNNNNNNNNNNNNNNNNNNNNNNNNNNNNNNNNNNNNNNNNNNNNNNNNNNNNNNNNNNNNNNNNNNNNNNNNNNNNNNNNNNNNNNNNNNNNNNNNNNNNNNNNNNNNNNNNNNNNNNNNNNNNNNNNNNNNNNNNNNNNNNNNNNNNNNNNNNNNNNNNNNNNNNNNNNNNNNNNNNNNNNNNNNNNNNNNNNNNNNNNNNNNNNNNNNNNNNNNNNNNNNNNNNNNNNNNNNNNNNNNNNNNNNNNNNNNNNNNNNNNNNNNNNNNNNNNNNNNNNNNNNNNNNNNNNNNNNNNNNNNNNNNNNNNNNNNNNNNNNNNNNNNNNNNNNNNNNNNNNNNNNNNNNNNNNNNNNNNNNNNNNNNNNNNNNNNNNNNNNNNNNNNNNNNNNNNNNNNNNNNNNNNNNNNNNNNNNNNNNNNNNNNNNNNNNNNNNNNNNNNNNNNNNNNNNNNNNNNNNNNNNNNNNNNNNNNNNNNNNNNNNNNNNNNNNNNNNNNNNNNNNNNNNNNNNNNNNNNNNNNNNNNNNNNNNNNNNNNNNNNNNNNNNNNNNNNNNNNNNNNNNNNNNNNNNNNNNNNNNNNNNNNNNNNNNNNNNNNNNNNNNNNNNNNNNNNNNNNNNNNNNNNNNNNNNNNNNNNNNNNNNNNNNNNNNNNNNNNNNGGGCCGGGGCGAGGCGGUGCGGGGUGGCCGGCGACGGGGGUGGCGCGGUGCAGCCGACGACGGGGUUGGCGGCGGCAGGGGUGAGGGGUGGCGGCGGCUCAGGCAGGGGACGGACAGACCAGAGAGGGGGGGCACGGGCACAGGCGGGGCCCCUUUUCUGCUAGUUAGUAGGGCACGGCUCUUUGCCGUCCGCGAGCGGACGACAAAGAUCGUACCUAGUGGGGUGGGGCCGGGGGGAAACGGACGACCUAACGGCCAUUUUCUUUGCCGGCCGCUGGCUGACGGCAAAGAACUUUUUCCGUCCGCCAGCAGACGGCAAAGAAAAUGGUCGUUAGGUCAUCCUCGUAAGCCCACCACCCAUCCUCUUUGCCGUCAGCUAGCAGACGGCAAAGAUAUGUUGAUGGCAAAGCCUUCCGUUGCCGUUCGCUGCCUCUUUGCUGUCCGUUUUCCGGUGGCUGAUGGCAAAGCCUUUCUUUGCCAUCCGCUAGCGGACGGCAAAGAGUCGGCAGACGGCAAAUCUGCUGAUUCCAGUAGUGAUAUGAGAUGUUCUAGGAGUUGAAGUUAAUAUUUCAAGUAAAUGCCUGGUUUGAGAGAUAUGAAGUCUCCAAUAAGUUCUACAGCUGCAAGAUGGAGGAGAAUAGUUCUGUCAGUGAGCAUAUACUCAAAAUGUCUGGGGUAUAACAAUCACUUGAUUCAACUGGGAGUUAAUCUUCCUGAUGAUAGUGUGAUUGACAGAAUUCUUCAAUCACUGCCACCAAGCUACAAGAUCUUCGUGAUGAACUAUAACGUGCAAGGGAUGGAUAAGACAAUUCCCGAGCUCUUCGCAAUGCUAAAGGCUGCGGAGGUAGAAAUCAAGAAGGAGCAUCAAGUGUUGAUGGUCAACAAGACCAUCAGUUUCAAGAAAAAGGGUAAAGGGAAGAAGGGGAACUUCAAGAAGAACGGCGAGCACGUUGCUGCUCAAGUGAAGAAGCCCAAGUCUGGACCUAAGCCUGAGACUGAGUGCUUCUACUGCAAAGGAACUGGUCACUGAAAGCGGAACUGCCCCAAGUAUUUGGCGGAUAAGAAGGAUGGCAAGGUGAACAAAGGUAUAUGUGAUACCUUACUAAUGCUCGCAGUAGUGCCUGGGUAUUUGAUACUGGUUAUGUUGCUAAUAUUUGCAACUCGAAACAGGGACUACGGAUUAAGCGAAGAUUGGCUAAGGACGAGGUGAAGAUGCGCGUGGGAAAUGGUUCCAAAGUCGAUGUGACGCAGUCGGCACGCUACCUCUACAUCUACCUUCGGGAUUAGUUUUAGACCUGAAUAAUUAUUAUUUGGUGCCAGCAUUAAGCAUGAACAUUAUAUCUGAAUCUUGUUUGAUGCGAGACUGUUAUUCAUUUAAAUCAGAGAAUAAUGAUUGUUCUAUUUAUAUAAGUAACAUCUUUUAUGGUCAUGCACCCUUAAAGAGUGUUCUAUUUUUGUUGAAUCUCGAUAGUAGUAACACACAUAUUCAUAAUAUUGAAGCCAAAAGAUGCAGAGUUGAUAAUGAUAGUGCAACAUAUUUGUGGCACUGCCGUUUAGGUCAUAUUGGUGUAAAGCGCAUGAAGAAACUCCAUUCUGAUGGACUUCUGGAAUCACUUGAUUAUGAAUCAAUUGGUACUUGCGAACCAUGCCUCAUGGGCAAGAUGACUAAAACGCCGUUCUCCGGAACAAUGGAGCAAGCAACAAAUUUGUUGGAAAUCAUACAUACUGAUAUAUGUGGUCUGAUGAAUGUUGAGGCUCGCGGCGGGUAUCGUUAUUUUCUCACCUUCACAGAUGAUUUGAGAAGAUAUGGGUAUAUCUACUUGAUGAAGCAUAAGUCUGAAACAUUUGAAAAGUUCAAAGAAUUUCAUAGUGAAGUGGAAAAUCAUCGUAACAAGAAAUUAAAGUUUCUACGAUAUGAUCAUGGAGGAGAAUAUUUGAGUUACGAGUUUGGUCUUUAUUUGAAACAAUGCAGAAUAGUUUCACAACUCACGCCACCCGGAACACCAAAGCGUAAUGGUGUGUCCGAAUGGCGUAAUCGUACUUUACUAGAUAUGGUGCGAUCUAUGAUGUCUCUUACUGAUUUACCGCUAUCGUUUUGGGGUUAUGCUUUAGAGAUGGCAUCAUUCACGUUAAAUAGGGCACCAUCUAAAUCCGUUGAGAGGACGCCUUAUGAACUGUGGUUUGGCAAGAAACCCAAGUUGUCAUUUCAUAAAAUUUGGGGUGCGAUGCUUAUGUGAAAAAUCUUCAACCUGAUAAGCUCGAACCCAAAUCGGAGAAAUGUGUCUUCAUAGGAUAAUCAAAGGAGACUGUUGGGUACACCUUCUAUCACAGAUCCGAAGGCAAGACAUUCGUUGCUAAGAAUGGAUCCUUUCUAGAGAAGGAGUUUCUCUCGAAAGAAGUGAGUGGGAGGAACUAGAACUUGAUGAGGUAACUGUACCUGCUCCCUUAUUGGAAAGUAGUUCAUCACAGAAAUCUGUUCCUGUGACUCCUACACCAAUUAGUGAGGAAGCUAAUGAUGAUAAUCAUGUAACUUCAGAUCAAGUUACUACCGAACCUCGUAGGUCAACCAGAGUAAGAUCCGCACCAGAGUGGUACGGUAAUCCUGUUCUGGAGGUCAUGUUACUUGACCAUGACGAACCUACGAACUAUGAGGAAGUGAUGAUGAGCCCAGAUUCCGUGAAAUGGCUUGAGGCCAUGAAAUCUGAGAUGGGAUCCAUGUAUGAGAACAAAGUGUGGACUUUGGUUGACUUGCCCGAUGAUCGGCAAGCCAUCGAGAAUAAAUGGAUCUUCAAGAAGAAGAUUGACACUGACGGUAAUGUUACUGUCUACAAAGCGCGACUUGUCGCGAAAGGUUUUCAACAAGUUCAAGGAGUUGACUACGUUGAGACCUUCUCACCUGUAGCGAUGCUUAAGUCCGUCCGAAUCAUGUUAGCAAUUGCUGCAUUUUAUGAUUACGGAAUUUGGCAAAUGGAUGUAAAGACUGCAUUCCUGAAUGGAUUUCUGGAACAAGAGUUGUAUAUUAUGCAACCCGAAGGUUUUAUUGAUCCAAAGGAUGCUAACAAAGUGUGCAAGCUCUAGCGAUCCAUUUAUGGACUGGUGCAAGCAUCUCAGAGUAGGAAUAAACGUUUUGAUAGUGUGAUCAAAGCAUAUGGUUUUAUACAGACUUUUGGAGAAGCCUGUAUUUACAAGAAAGCUAGUGGGAGCUCUGUAGCAUUUCUAAUAUUAUAUGUGGAUGACAUAUUGUUGAUUGGAAAUGAUAGAAUUUCUGGAUAGCAUAAAAGGAUACUUGAACAAGAGUUUUUCAAUGAAAGACCUCGGUGAAGCUGCUUAUAUAUUGGGCAUCAAGAUCUAUAAAGAUAGAUCGAGACGCUUAAUUGGACUUUCACAAAGCACAUACCUUGAUAAAGUUUUGAAGAAGUUCAAAAUGGAUCAAGCAAAGAAAGGGUUCUUGCCUGUGUUACAAGGUGUGAAGUUGAGUCAAACUCAAUGCCCGACCACUGCAGAAGAUACAGAGAAAAUGAAAGUUUUUCCCUAUGCUUCAGCCAUUGGCUCUAUCAUGUAUGCAAUGUUGUGUACCAGACUUGAUGUGUGCCUUGCUAUUAGUUUAGCAGGGAGGUACCAAAGUAAUCCAGGAGUGGAUCACUGGACAGCGGUCAAGAACAUCCUGAAAUACCUGAAAAGGACUAAGGAUAUGUUUCUCGUUUCUGGAGGUGACAAAGAGCUCGUCAUAAAUGGUUACGUCGAUGCAAGCUUUGACACUGAUCCGGAUGACUCUAAGUCGCAAACCGGAUAUGUAUUUAUAUUGAAUGGUGGAGCUGUCAGUUAGUGCAGUUCUAAGCAAAGCGCUAUGGCGGGAUCUACGUGUGAAGUGGAGCACAUAGCUGCUUCGGAAGCGGCAAAUGAAGGAGUCUGGAUGAAGGAGUUCAUAUCCGAUCUAGGUGUCAUACCUAGUGCAUCGGGUCCAAUGAAAAUCUUUUGUGACAAUACUGGUGCAAUUGCCUUGGCAAAGGAAUCCAGAUUUCACAAGAGAACCAAGCACAUCAAGAGACGCUUCAAUUCCAUCUGCGAUCAAGUCAAGGAGGGAGACAUAGAGAUUUACAAGAUACAUAUGGAUCUGAAUGUUGCAGACCCGUUGACUAAGCCUCUCUCAUGAGCAAAGCAUGAUCAGCACCAAGACUCCAUGGGUGUUAGAUUCAUUACUGUGUAAUCUAGAUUAUUGACUCUAGUGCAAGUGGGAGACUGAAGGAAAUAUGCCCUAGAGGCAAUAAUAAAGUUGUUAUUCAUAUUUCCUUAUAUCAUGAUAAAUGUUUAUUAUUCAUGCUAGAAUUGUAUUAACCGGAAACUUAGUACAUGUGUGAAUACAUAGACAAAUAGAGUGUCACUAGUAUGCAUCUACUUGACUAGCUCGUUGAAUCAAAGAUGGUUAAGUUUCCUAGCCAUAGACAUGAGUUGUCAUUUGAUUAAUGGCAUCACAUCAUUAGAGAAUGAUGUGAUUGACUUGACCCGUUCCGUUAGCAUAGCACUUGAUCGUUUAGUAUGUUGCUAUUGCUUUCUUCAUGACUUAUACAUAUUCCUAUGACUAUGAGAUUAUGCAACUCCUGAAUACCGGAGGAACACUUAGUGUGCUACCAAACGUCACAACGUAACUGGGUGAUUAUAAAGGUGCUCUACAGGUGUCUCCGAUGGUAAUUGUUGAGUUGACAUAGAUCGAGAUUAGGAUUUGUCACUCCGAUUGUCGGAGAGGUAUCUCUGGGCCCUCUCGAUAAUGCACAUCACUAUAAGCCUUGCAAGCAAUGUGACUAAUGAGUUAGUUGCAGGAUGAUGCAUUACGGAACGAGUAAAGAGACUUGCCGGUAACGAGAUUGAACUAGGUAUUGAGAUACCGACGAUCGAAUCUCGGGCAAGUAACAUACCGAUGACAAAGGGAACAACGUAUGUUGUUAUGCGGUUUGACCGAUAAAGAUCUUUGUAGAAUAUGUGGGAGCCAAUAUGAACAUCCAAGUUCCGCUAUUGGUUAUUGACCGGAGACGUGUCUCGGUCAUGUCUACAUAGUUCUCGAACCCGUAGGUUCCGCACGCUUAACGUUCGGUGACGAUCGGUAUUAUGAGUUUAUGUGUUUUGAUGUACCGUAGAUAGUUCGGAGUCCCGGAUGUGAUCACAGACAUGACGAGGAGUCUCGAAAUGGUCGAGACAUAAAGAUUGAUAUAUUGGAUGACUAUAUUCGGACACCAGAUGAGUUCCGGGGGUCACCGGAUAAUUAUCGAAGUGCCGGGGGGUUAUCGGAACCCCCAGGGGAACUAAUGGGCCAACAUGGGCCUUGUGAGAGAGAGGAGGGGGCCUUAGGGCUGUCCGCCCCCCCCCCUUGUGGAGUCCGAAUUGGACAAGGAGGGGGCGGCGCCCCCUCUUUCCCUCCUCCUCUCCCUCUCCUUCCUUCCCCCUUCCUCCUCCUAGUAGGACUAGGAAAGGGGUGUCCUACUCCUACUAGGAGGAGGACUCCUCCUCUCCUGGCGCGCCCCAAGGGCCGACCGGCCUCCCCCCUUGCUCCUUUAUAUACGGGGGCAGGGGGCACCCUAGAACACACAAGUUGAUCAUUGAUCUCUUAGCCGUGUGCGGUGCCCCCCUCCACCAUAAUUCACCUUGGUCAUAUUGUUGCAGUGCCUAGGCUAAGCCCUGUGCCGGUAGCUUCAUCAUCACCGUCAUCACGCUGUCGUGCUGACGAAGCUCUCCCUCGACACUCAGCUGGAUCGAGAGUUCGUGGGACGUCACCGAGCCGAACGUGUGCAGAUCGCGGAGGUGCCGUACUUUCGGUACUAGGAUCGGUCGGAUCGUGAAGACGUACGACUACAUCAACCGCGUUGUCAUAACACUUCCGCUUACGGUCUACGAGGGUACGUGGACUACACUCUCCCCUCUCGUUGCUAUGCAUCACCAUGAUCUUGAGUGUGCGUAGGAUUUUUUUUGAAAUUACUGCGUUCCCCAACAGUGUGAUCAUGCACAACAUGAUCAUCGAGAAUGAGCGUGGCCAAGAUGUAGACUACUCUCAGUAUGAGCUCUUGAGACAUCCCGUGCGAGUGCGACGGAGGGCUGAAAGGGUGGCCCUUUUGUUGACUCCUAUCAUGCCAUCCGACGUCCCGCGGCGCAUGAUGAUCUUCAGAAGGAUCUCAUUGAGGAGUGGUGGGCUUGGAAUGGGUGACAAAGCAUCAUGAUUUGUGCGUUUGAUAUCGUAUUGUUGAACUAUUUGUUGUAUUGUUGACUAUUUGUUGUAUUGAACGAUAAACUAUUUGUUUGAGUUGUAAUAGCGAAAUUGAACUAUUUAUUUUGUUUGUGUUUGAUCUUUUUGCUUGUGUUUGAAAUGCAUAAAGUUGUUUGUGCGAGUGUCACGCGCGCUUCAUUUUUGCGCGCUGGUAGAGCUGCGCGCGCGCUGCAUUUUAGCGCGGCUGCUGGAGCCAGCGCUGCCCGUCGCGCCAAAUCAGGCGAUAGGCGCGCGGCAAAAUAGUUUUUAAGGCGCAACACGUUGGACGGCUGUUGGAGAUGCUCUUAAUCUGAUGCUGGGUUAGUUGAUGAGCAUGAGAUGACGCAGACAUAUUUUGCACCCGCGGCGUACGUAGCUGUAAGCCUGUAAGUGUGGUCAAUGUUACUCCACUGCAUAUCCUCAAACGUACUACUACCACAAGAAUACAAGAUUAGUACAUUGGGUCAUCUCGUAAUUUAGGCCAAGUUCUAACCAACAAAAGUUUAUAGUAUACUGGAUAGAAGCGUUGGCACAUUUGCUGCAUCCUUGGUGUUGUUAGGUUUUCAUAAUUUUUUACUCGUUCCAAAAAUAUAAGAUGCAUUAGUUUUGAAAAAAUCAAAUCUCUUUAAGUUUGAUAAAAUUUGUAGAGAAAUAUAUCGAUAUUCGUAAUAUCAAAUUUGUAUGAAUAUCCAUAAUAUCAAAUUGGUAUAAUUAAAUUCACCAUGAAAUAGACUUUUUAUUUUUUUAUUUAGUAUUUGUGGAUGUUGAUUUUUUGGGCUCUGAACUUGGUCAAAGUUUAAAAAAUCAACUUUUCCAAAAACAAAUACACCAUAUAUUUUAGAACCGUGGGAGUAUUUGAUUUGGCGUGUGGGGAAGAUGAUGGAGUGUGUUAUUCUUUCUAUUUAUAACACGGUGUUAGAGGGCCUUUCGUAGUGUGAUUCUGUGUUAUCUGCCAAUCAUCCUAUAGCUAUGUGGGGAAAUUUUCUGCUUCGGUUUUCAUGUACUAUAUUUGUGCUACAAUACCACAUGUUAGCGCUGUUUUUCCUAGUUGACGAGAGGUGCGCAGGGUUCAUAUGGUUUAUAGGUUAGUUGUUGUCGAUUGAUCUGAUUUUUUUUGACACAGUCAAAAUAUGAACCAAAUACAUAAUUGAAUACCUCAAUCGAUGAAAAAGCUCCUAAAUUAAGGAGCACAUUACUAAAAGAAUCAAAAGAGAGAGCUUCAUGAGUAAUUGUUGACCCGGCCAAGUGAACUGAAAGAACUAAGUGAGAGAGCUUCUUGAAAAAUUGUUUAACCUGGUCAAAAUUAGAUGACCAGAUUUCAAAUUGAAGACGUUAGUUGAUUAUGAGACCUUAAAAAUUAAGAACCACGAUACAUUUACUAUAAGGGUUGGACGUGCUUUGCUCACGCCGUUGAUGUUGCAUGCAUGUACAUGAUCGACCUAAGUACGCUAUGGGGGGCUUAACAGUGGUAUAGAAACUUUUUAUUUUGCGUUUGCUAAAUCUCAUAUAUCUAAAAUUCACGGGUCGGUCGAAUUCACAGCAUGGCUAAAGCUUAGGCGAUGUGACGAGUGGGAGCGAAGAGCGUCAUCCCCAAUGAGACCGAGCCAAGACCUCGUCAGAGGCGGGGAGGGUGUUGCAAGGGAUAGCGGGCUGCGCGAUCCUAGGUGAAGGCGAUGAAGCUAGUUAACUGAUGUGGGUCAUCAGAGAAAUCUGGUCGGGGUGCAAUGUUUAGAGGGACGGUCGAGGGCGGCGGUAGAACUAUGGUGUAGGAGGCUAGGGGAAGGCGAGCACUGAGGCGACGGCAGGCCGCCGGUCUAGUGCUGGAAAGCAGGCUAGAGAAGGAACGGCUGGAGGCUGAAGAAAGUAUGGGAGCCAUUUGUUUUUGAUAAAAAAAUCAGCAAAUUCCACUAACACAUGACCAAACCCCAACGGCACAAAACCAAACCCUAAGAGCGUCUCCAAUAGACGCCGAACGCGCCGCGCGCUAAAAACUGCUUUGCCGCACGCCUAUCAACUGGUUUGGUGCGGCGCGCAGCGCUGGCUCCAGCAGCGCGCAAAAAAUGCAGCACGCGCUCAUUCUACAACAUUUUUAAAUUACAUAGAUAAAAAACGAUACAAAGGUAUUUUAUAUCGGUGCAACUAGAUAGAUAGUUCGAAAGCAUAGAUAGAUAGAACUACGGUGCAACUAGAUAGAAACUACUACGGCAUACAUAGAUAGAAACUACUCCAAGUCGCUACCAUCAUCACCAUCAUCAUCCUCGUCGGUGUUGUCCGAGGUAUCGAGCCAUAUGUCGUCCCAACGUUCAUCGUCUGACGUGAAGAUCGACCUCCCACCUGCUUCAACGAUAUCGCACUGCGCAUUCGCCAAUGCCUUCCGCCGACGCCGGUCGGCACGGUCCAUGUCGGUGAUGAGACGCGGCGGAGGGGCGACGCGCUGCGCCUCCUCGCGCGUGAAGACGUCCCGGAAGUUCAUCUGCGACCGGGGCCUCUCCAAGCGCCACGCCGCCGCGUCGUACGCGCGGGCCGCCUCGUGCGCGCGGGCCGCCUCGUGCGCGCUUCGGAACGACCCGAGGCCGAGCCGGACGUCGCCGGACCGGAUCUCGGCGGAGUACCAGCCAUUGGGGCGCUCGCGGACGCCGCGGUAGCCCGAAGAACCCCGGCGGCGCGGCGGCAUGGCGGCGCGGUGGUGGCGCGGAAAGCGGCGAAGCGGCGAGGUUGCGAGGGGAGGGCGCGUGGCUGUGUUCUGUGCGCGUGGCGAGCGCGGGAUUUUAUAGGCGCGCGCGAAGCGGCGCGCCAAAUCUACCGCACCGCGUGCCGCUUUCUCCCGCGCGCGCGCAAACGCUUCCCGCGCGCGGUAAGUUCCCGCCACCGCUGGAGCGCGCGGAACCAGCCGGCGCGCGCUAAAACCAAACUUUACCGCGCGGGCGCGUCUUUUGCCGCGCCUGUUGAAGAUGCUCUAACUACAGAGAGCGGAGGAACGGGGUCCGCCUCCCUCCUACCGCUGGAGCAGCAGUCGGAGGGAGAGGGAACCAGCCCUGGCAUGUGUAGAUCGAAGGUAGAGGAUCGUCUCCCUAGUUGCCUUCACGUGGCGGCGGCUAGGUUAGGGAAAAUGACGUGCUCUUUAUUUGACAGGGUUGGUAUAUACAUAGAAACGUAUACACACUCUCAGGUAUACAAGAUUAAUACUCCCUUCGUUUCAGUUUACAAGUGCUGCACGUAUACUUAGGUUGUCGAUUUUAUCACCCUAAUAUAAACUACAUAACACAAAAAUUAAACCGUUUGAAAAUAUAACAUCUGAAGUUUAUAUUGGCAUAUUUUUUGUAAUAUACGACUUGUAUUAGGUUGGUCAAACUGAUGACCUAGGGAUACGCGCACGUCCUGUAAACUAAGAGAGAGGAAGUAGUAACAAGAUGGUUUGGAUUCCACCAAAACAGUGUACAAGGAAGGCGAAGGGCAACCGACCGACCUACUUAAUUACGUCCUCGUCGUUAAUACUCGUAUGACCAUGCAAUGCCGCGAAUGCAGUCUUGACAAGGCAGCAUGAUGAAAAGUGCAUGGAGGGACAGCUCCUGACACGGCAAGGGAGGAUCAUCAGAAGAUGCGGUAGGAACCAACCUUUUCUCCCCCCGAAACCAAGUAGGUGGAACUUUGAAGGACGAACCUCCCGAGCCGCACGCGCGGGCGGCUCCGGAGGCCCCAAACCCUAGCGCCAGAAACCCUCCCUUCCCGAGAUCCCCCAGCCGUCGCUGCCGCCGGCGCCGGCGGUAGUGGCGGCGCCCGGCCGUCAAAGGCGGCGGGCAUGGCGAGCGCGCCCCGACGGGCCUCCCUCGCGCGAGGGAGCGGCGUCAGCGGGCGGCGUGGGUGGAUUUCUCCGGUGCGGUGGUCCACGGCGAGGGGCGCAGCGGCGGGGCGGAGCACGGCCGGAUCUUGCACAGGAGGCGCGGGAGGGUGUUUCCGUUCGGGAGGCGCCGGCGUAGGAGAGUGGUGGCGGCGCGGUUCGGCCAUGGUGGUGGCGGCGCGGCUCGGCCAUGGUGGAGGCGGCGCUCGUCCUGGUGUGCGGCGGCAGCGCGGAUCGUCUUGGAGGAGGCGGCACUCGUCCUGGUGUGCGGCGGCGGCCUCCUGGUGGCGGCGCCCAGCCGUGGUGGUUGGUGGCCUCCUGGUGGCAUUUCUGGAUCUGGGGUAGGCCCUUGGCCGCGACCGCUGUGUUGCUGCCGGAUGCUGCCUGGAGUGGGUGUGUUUGGCUGCUGCAUGUGGUGCGGCGGUCCUUGGCUGUGCCGAUAGCGGUGGAUGAUCUGGAGCUGCGGGAUCUUGCUGUGCGGGAGGAGGAAGAAGGGCUGCGUAUCUUCGGCUGUGCGGGGUGUCGGUGUUCCGCGACAUUUUCAUCACAUUGGCGAGGUGCUGCGGUGGUGGCGGAGUGAGUCAACAUGGACAGCGGCCUCAUUCAGGUGGGCAGGGAUGGUGGUGUGCGACGACACGGAUGAAAAUCCCGCCCGUCUUUGGUCGGUGCUAGCGGCGAUGGCGCCUGUGGGUGUCGUUCCCCUCCUUGGAGGCGUCGCGGAGGUGUGUCGGCAUCCCCCCUUUCCUACUUGGGUGGUUGUCUCCGGGUGAAAGCCCAGAUUCGUUCUCGGAUCGGCGAUGGCGGCGUCUUUGCGGCGUUACUCUGUUGGGAGCAUCGUGUGGGGAGACAUGGCUGGGAGGUUUCAUGUUGCGGUUCUUCGGUGCUCACCGCUGGUCCAAGUACAUCUUCUUCGGCGCUAUGUACGCCGUCGAUGGAGAGUCAAAGACGAUGGCUUUGUAGGGAUCAAUCGAGUCCCGCCACCCACUCGCCAUCUCCUUUUAGGCAUUCAAAGGUGGUUGGUGCGUCGACAAGGGAGAUCCGGGUUUAGCUAUUGCUCUUCGAGGUGACCGUCGUCGGUAGAGACGCGGCUUAGAUGUUUUGUCGUCGGUAGAGACGCGGCUUAGAUGUUUUUGCUUAGGGCAGGCUCCGUGCGUUGUGUUGUAACGUGUGCAGGGUUAAUCUUCGGAUGUGCGUUGUGUUGUAACGUGUGCAGGGUUAAUCUUCGGAUUAGUCCGGUGUGUGCUACUUUUGUUGUUCGCAACAAGAAGUAGAGUCUUGUAAUUGUUUUCUGCCUUCUAUAAAAAUAUGAUACGCCGUGGAAAAAAAAAUUCGGUAAAACGCUGACGCCAGCAACUAGCCCCUGACACACACUGCCAUGGCCUGCGGCGUCGUACGUGUUGAUUCCGUGCUCGUCUCGCCCAGCCGGGCUGCAUAUAAAGCUAGCCUGCCUCGCCAUUCCACGCCAGCCAGCGCCCGCUUCCACGCCUCCCACUCCGCUCCGGCCGGCCGCCGUCCUCGAUCGAUCGGCACUGCACUUGGGGUGCGUACCACUGCCUUUUUCUUGCGUGGAUCGCCUUCUUUACUCGCCGUUCCAUUCUUGUGCGAUCUGGCCUUCACCUUGGGUAUCUGCAUAGAAUUACAUGCGUAUGUGACCGGCCGCCGGGGAUGUGAGUGCUGCCGGGUGUGUUCAUGCGUGCGUGUUUACUGAUCUUUCUUGGGAGAGUAUGUGAUGCAUUCAUGCGUGCGUGCGUCCGUGCAAGUGCGUAUCGUUCGUGUGCGUGACUCGCCUCGUAUCUUGUGGCUUGCUUGCAGGGGUACGGUCUAAGGCAGCGAUGAUGCUCUCCAUGGAUCUUGCGCCCGCGACGCUAGCCAACAUCGCGCUCGCCGGUUUGCACCCAAUACCGACCAAGCUAGAUCUACCCACCUACUGCAUGCAUGUUCCGAGAGAUCUUAGACUACCCACAAUAAAAGUAACAUAUAUAGUAAUAUCACACAUAUCUAAAUAAAAUAGAUGAUGUGGCAAGCAAUAAAUGAAAAAAUGGAGAAAAGUGAUAACAUAGCUAGUUACUAGUAGUAGACUAGCCACAAUGAAGAGUAACGAUGCUCUUCAAGAUACAGAUCUGAGGCCGAAAAACGCCCCCCAUCUCCCCCUCCCGGUCGCUCCCGCGAGCGCCGCGGAGGGGAAACCCUAGCCGCCGGCCUCCGACCCCUCCCCUUCCCCUCCCCCCUCGCCGCCGCCGGCUCGCGCGGACGGGCGAAGCCCUGUCUGCGUCGGCGGCGGCGGGGCAUCUCUUCCCCUGCUCUGUCACGGGCUGGCGCGGGCCGGCGUGGACGGGUGGUGGCGCAGCGCGAGCAGAGGGCGCGGCGGCGUGGCGGCGGGACUGGUGCUUGGUCGGCCGUGCGAAGGGCUCUGUGGUGGUGGUCCUUGCGCGUGCGCGGGCGGGGGUUCCUGUUCGUGCGGCGCCGGAUCUGUGGCGGCGGCCACUGACGGGCGGCGCACCGGCUCCCCUGCGGUGGGUGGCCGGUGCUGAUGCGGAAGGCCGCCAUGUCUGGCCGCGUAGGCGGCGGGCUAGCGGCAGGCUCGGAGCUGGCUCCGGGGGUCUCCCCGUUGGCCCCUUGGAGCGGAUCUGACGGCGGCCCCCUCCCCUGCGCCUCUUCUUGCCUCGCCGGCCUGCGAGGCGGGCAUCAGUGUGCCCGGUGCUCGCGGCUGGUUGGGGAUGGAGGGUUUGGAGGGCUGGACCGGGGGAAACCCUUGGUCUGCGGCUGCGUCCACGGUGCCGGCGACGCUCUGGCGUCUCCUCUAGGGGCGGCAUCGAGGUCCUCCCUCCACCCUCUUCCUCCGCGACCUGGGCGAAAGCCCAAACCCUUCGGUUGGGUGGUGAUGGCGCUAUGGCGUCGUGGUCCUUCUUGAAGGCGCCACCUUUGGUUGGCGGAUGGGUGGUCGAGGCUUCGCAGGUGGAGGGGUGUCUUCCUCAAUGGUGUUCCGGCUUGGCUGCCUUCGGUCGACAUUGAUCCGGGCUGCGGCGGUGAUGAAGUAUGGGAUGUGGCGGUGCAAGGUGAGGCGGCCGUGCUUGCGUCCUCUCCAUGGCGUCCUGUUGGUCCGGCCUUCCGCUCGGGUGAGCGGCUUUACCUGCCGACGGCGUCUUCGGAGGUAGAGACAGCCGGUCGAUCGGAAUUGUUUGGGCCUCGGUGGAGUUGACAAUGUGUGGCUUCCUCCGGCUGCGGGUUACUUCCCUGUCUUUGUCGUGUCGUAGGCAGGUUCGAGUUAACCGAGUUAGCGGUUCUUCCGGUGUCUUGUAUCUUUACCGUUCUUGCUCUUUUUUUCUGUUGUUGUAUGUCUGUUGUAUGCUGGAUGUGGUGCUUUAUAAUAUAAAGCGGGGGAAACCCUUUUUCUUACAAUGGAGAGUAACAUACACUAGUAACAUAUACAUAUCCCUAGACUAUGUUAUUACCUUUAUAGUGGGUAGUAACAUAAGUAUGGUAACAUGCAAUGCCUCAUUUAUUAGGUUAUAGACUCAUAUUGCAUUGAGACAUGUGAUGUUACAGUAACUAGCUAAGUUACUCAAACUACCUCUCUCCUUAUUAACUCAUUGCCACAUAAGCAAAUUCGCUGAGACUCGAUGUUACUGCUCCCACUGUGGCUAGUCGUAGUAUGAAUAACAUCACAUAUAUCAAGGCAAAAUGAGUCUAUAGCCUAAUAAAUGAAGUGUUGCAUGUUCCACACAUAUGUUACUCCCACUAUAGAGGUAAGUAACAUAGACUAGUAAGAGCAACUCUAGUAGACCCCGCAAAACGCCCGGCCCGCAAAAAUUCCGGCGAGUAUGCGGGCUCGGCCCAAUUUUCCGGCCAGAACAGAGCCCGCAUACUCGCCCGGCCCGCAAAAAUUUUUGCGGCAGCCCGCAAUCCGCACGCCCCGAGCAGUAUAACUGCGGUUCCGCGACCCUUUUGCGGGUCCAAACCCUAUCCCUCCGCCGCCGCGAGCCACCCGAUUCCCCUUUCCUCUCUUCCAAUUUCUCGCCGCCGGCGACCACCCGCCACGCCUUCAGCCGCCAUGUGGGGGCGCAUGUGGAGCUCCGGACGCGGUUCCGGCAGCAGAUCCGACCGUGAGCGCGAGCGGCGCGUCCGGUCAGACGGCGCGAGGAAGCGCGGCGCCCGGAGGUGGACUAACCACGGGAUGUCGCAGCCGGCGAGCUUCAACCGCCGCGAGACGGAGGAGUACGACCGGCGUGCGUCCUUCUCCUCCGCGAUGUCCUACGCCGGAUCCUCCUCGUCCUCCGGCGCGGGCUUCCUCCUCGUGAAGAGGGAGUGGUCGGACGACGAGGAGGAGCCGGAGCCGCCGGCGCCGUUCGCAGUAUGUGAUGAACUAUGUAGUAUGUGAUGAACUAUUAGUACAAUUUCUUCCGCGAAAGUGUUUUUUCAAAUUAUGCAGGUUUUGAUACGAGUUCUGUUCUGCCGCGCAUGUUUUCGACCGCAAACAUGAUCUAAGUGAAACCACAAAUCGUGUUUUGCAGGUCGAAUUUUUGCGGGAUCUGCUAGAGUUGCUCUAACAUGUGCAUGUUAUUAAUCUAUAUUGCUACCUAUUGUGGCUAGUCUUACUUAUUUACGUUGCCUUAUUUCUUGAUCUGCGUGCAGGUGAUGCCUUUACCUUUAUGCUGUUCCUCGUCCCCGCGUACGUAUUUCCAACCCCGAUACCAAAUGACGUGUUCGUUCCUUCCUUCUUAGUUAAUUACAUACUCCGAUCCAUAGGUGAAAUUGCAUGGGCAUAUGUGAGUAUGUUGGUUGAUGAAUCGAUCUGAGCGAAUAACCAACGCCGCCGACGUGCUGACUGGACUAAUUGCGUGUGUAUGUCCCAUGCACCGGCAGGUUCACCACGAUGCCCGCCAUCUGCCGGUCCGGCACCGUCGGGAGUAGAUGUCAGAUUUAUUAGGGUUGAUGCCUAGUAUCUAAUAUGUUUCAUGAUUGAUAUUUUUAUGAUUUUGCUAAGCUUAUCACUAGGGCCGAGUGCCAUGAUGGAAAAGGUGCAGAUGCAACCCUUCAUUAUAGACUAUAUCUGUAAGCUUUGAUUAAUCACACAUAUUCAGUUGAUAAGGUAGUUUAGAUUAAUUAGUGACACAGUCCAUAUGUGUCCGCUCAUGUCCGCUAGGCGGACAAAUGAUCUAAACGGACAAAAAAUACAAAAUCCGUAUCCGUUUAGGUCUUUGUGUUGGAGUUGGUCGAACUUGACACGCUAGUGUUAAUACAUAGAUUUUGUUAGAAAAGGAGGAUGACCCCCGGUCUCUACAUCUGGAAGAUGCAUGCAGCCACUUUAUUGAUUAUUCUCAAGGACCUUACAAAGUAUUACAACAAUAUGCCUGAAACCGCCAUUUUGGCAACAUCUGCCGCUACUCCUAUCCAUAUGAUGAAGGGGUGCUAGCUGGGCCACUACCCAAACCACUCACCUAAGCCUAACAUCAAAAGCCGGAAGCCCAGCCAAGCCACAUACCGGGUCUGGGGCACAAACUGGUCUGACGCACUCGCAUGUGUCGUCACCGCCAUCUUCCAUAGGCCCGUUUUCAGAGCAGAUAUUGAGGUUUCUACCUUGUCUGGCCACUCUGCCAUCGACAUCACCAUGACGCCAGACAGCUACCUCCUCCUGCGCGAGUCCAUCACCAUGCAUCGGACGCCGAGUCUCCACAGCGCCAUGCCGCCGAUAUCCGCCGCCCUCAAUGUGUGGGAUAAAGCACCACUCCACCAUCCCUCCAGCGAGCACUUACUCCAAAACGAUGCCCCCAAAAGGGAAAGUGAUAAACACCAUCAUCCCCCGAUCCGGAAGACCCAGAUCUAGAGUUCCCCCGGAGCAUCCCGAGCCUGACGAUGCAAACUGCAACGACGAUGCCUCGACAAGGGAACGACAUCAAAUACGCCGCCAUCGUCCGCCAUGACCGUAGUCGGUGCGUCUUCAUCGGCAGUUGCUCCACCAUACAUGCGCCGCCAGCGUCGCUGGUCCCUUCAACCGGAGUAAACUCCAAAACGAUGCCCUGAAGAGGGACUACGACGCAAAAGCACCGCCAUCGCUCGAUCCCAAGAAGAUCUAGGGUUUCCCCCGGAGUUGCCCGCGCUGCAAGGACCAGACAAGGGUAGAAUCUUGGCGGAUCCUCUCAGCUGCCGACGAGUCGCACCCGCCACCGCGCCGACGGCAAUCCAGCGACCAAGGCCCACACCUGGGCCCAGAUCCGGCCGUGCCGCCGCGAACCCAUCUGGUCACGCCGCCGCCGUCCUUGGCGACCGCGACGCACCAGACUGCGAAGCUGCCGGCCCGCGCCAGCCCCACGAGUCCCCGCCGCCGCCGGCGACAGCAAGGCUUCGCCUGGCCGUGCCCUUGGGCGGCGGCGAGGGAGGAGGAGGAGGAGAGGUGGAGUNNNNNNNNNNNNNNNNNNNNNNNNNNNNNNNNNNNNNNNNNNNNNNNNNNNNNNNNNNNNNNNNNNNNNNNNNNNNNNNNNNNNNNNNNNNNNNNNNNNNNNNNNNNNNNNNNNNNNNNNNNNNNNNNNNNNNNNNNNNNNNNNNNNNNNNNNNNNNNNNNNNNNNNNNNNNNNNNNNNNNNNNNNNNNNNNNNNNNNNNNNNNNNNNNNNNNNNNNNNNNNNNNNNNNNNNNNNNNNNNNNNNNNNNNNNNNNNNNNNNNNNNNNNCACGCGGGGUCCACUAGCGAAGGGAGACCAUCAAUAUGUAGAUGGUCUAUUUUAACACAUAAGAACUAGACUUUGACCAUGUAGUAGUAAACUAUUAUGAAGUGAUUACGUACGUGGAAGCUUUGUAUAUACAUAUAUGUCAGUUGUUGGACUGGUGGAUUAACCAGAGUUACAACUAGAUCGAUAAUAAAGUAUCUACGAAUCUAAAUCCCUCCGGAUUCCCAAUCUCCCGUUCGCCGACGAUCCACAAGAAGACGACCCAGGCGCAGGCGGCGACGGUGGCGACGACCAUCCCAACGACAAAUGUGGCGACAGUCAGCCUGGUGGUGUGAGGUGACUGGUCGUACAGGUAGACAUCGAUCAGGACCAUGCCACGACGGUGAGCAAAAGAGUCAGGACGCCCACGAGCACGAUGACCACCCACCUGCCGGCCUCCUCGGGGUCCGUCGUCGCCACGAGCUGCUCGUCCAGGAGGUUCUGGUUCUCCAGGUCGUUGGCCAUCAGGCAUCCACGAUCCACCUAGCUAGCUAGUUUGAUCGAUCUUCUUCACUGCUUCGUGACCGUUCACAAGAAUAUAAUCGUUUUUUUAGAGAGAACGUAUUAUCGUGUAUAUUUGGUUCCACGAGGCUAAGCUGUAUCCGUUUCAGUUUGCACUUACAUUUUUUUUUAGGUGAAAGUUUGCACUUACAUGGGUAAGUUUUUUCAGUUACAGUACUAUACGGACGACGAAUCUUGUACAUAGGGCCGAAAUCUAUCCGUAGGGCCCAAAGGCUGUUCAGCGCUUAACGGGCUGGUUAAAGUGUAUUCGUACGCAGCGCACCCAUUCUGAUAAAUCGGCCGGCCCAUACUAGUCUCGCCUUGACCAGUUUUUUUUGUUUGAGAAACACAUGUAACUUUAUUCAUACUCACCAGUUUUGAGAACCUUCUAGACCUCCAAUUUGUUUCGGGCUGGUCUUCUUCGAUUUCGGACAGGUUUUUUUUCCUUGUUUUCAACUUUUAUAUAUCUUUUUCUUUUUCAAUUUUCCUUCUUCUUCUUGGUUUGUUCUGUUUUUUUAAUUCAUAUUCUCUUUUAAAAUUUACAUUUUCUAAAUUCAUCUAGCUUUUUCAUAUCCACGAACAUUUUUCAAGUUAUGGUAGUUUCUCAAACUCAUGAAAUCUUUCAAAAUUUUAAACUUUUCUAAAUGCGUGAACUUUUUUUCAAACUCGUUAACUUCUUCAAAUGUGUGAACUUUUUCAAAUUGUUGAAACUAUUCCAACUCCACCAACUUUUUUUAAUCUGCGAAUAUUUUCAAAUCCAUUGCAUUUUAAAAUUCCUAAACUUUUUUCAAAUGUGUGAAAAUUUUAAAAUCCACAAACUAUUUUUAAAAACCAUGAAACUUUUAAAAUUCAUGCACUUUUAAAAUGCGUGAACUUUUUCCAAAUCCGUGAACAUUUUUCAAAUUCAUGAUUUGUUUUCAAACUCAUGAACUUUUUCAAAACCAUGAACUUCUCAAAUCCGCAUUUUCUUUCAAAUUUGUGUACGGCAUUAAAACUCGUAACUUGUUUAUUAUUUUACACUUUUUUAAAUUCAUAAACUUAUUUUUUACAAAAGUCAACGGCCAAAUGGUGUGAUCAGUGGCCGUUGUACUCACAUUGGUGAACGAGCCAGCGAAUGGAGCCUAACUGAGCAAACGAGGGCGCUGGUGGGUGAGCCCACGCGAGCGGCCGGGUGGGUGGUGGUUGGCCGAGCACUGGGAGCUUUUCUAUUCGGCUCCCUGGCAUCCACACAACGGCCCAUGUACACGGUUGCAUUUGAGAAAAAAAAAGAAAAAAAC
Molecule: long non-coding RNA, 60103 nt
Filed under: Triticum aestivum (bread wheat)
Lineage: Eukaryota; Viridiplantae; Streptophyta; Magnoliopsida; Poales; Poaceae
Description: long non-coding RNA (TAES_LNC008727)
Source: RNAcentral